CCGUUCUUCGUUUUGUGGGUUAACAAUGGUGGUGGUGGUGGUGAUGUCGAUAACCAUCCUGAGUUCCAGCUACAGCUGCAGAGGUUCGAUUCUGAUGAAGGCCAACGCCACGUUGGGUAGCGUGAUGACGACCGAGUUGAUCAUCAAGCACGAUAUAACUCGGUAUCUCAUAUUCAAGGGUGCCACCGCAGUGACAGGUGCGACUGCGGACCCAAACAUCGUGACAUGUGGCAAUGGCGCCGGAAACACGUUUUCCGGCUGCGGUGGUAAUGCUAAUAAUACACAACAGUGCAAUGCAUACCAAGGACCUAACGCUUGCUUAUAAUCCCUUCAGUUCCAUAUUAAUAUGAUCACUAUGACUCUGCGCAGUUUCUAUGUCAUCGUGUAAUCCCCUGUUUUUUAUGAUCCUCUGUUCUUCUUUCUAUUUCUCUUUGAAGUGGAGUUUGUUUGUUUGAUGCUUUCAUUAACAAUGUAUUUGGUGCUUUGUUGUUUGUUUUUGUGAAAUAAGAACUAAAUCAAAUCACUUUUCUUCUUCUCUCUCUUGUUCAAUCCAUUGAUCCUCUAAGUAUUUUCGUAAUAAAGAUUAAAUUGUUACCGUCUACAAACUUAUAAUCUUUAUUGUUAUAUACGUAUGGUUAAGUUUUGAGUUUGAUUUCGAUUUGAUCUCUAAUUUUCAAAAUGUUGUAUUUUAAUAUUGAUAUUUGAAUUUUAUUUUAAUUUGGUCCAUAGAAUAUUUACAUUUGUCAUCUCAACUUUUCACUUAUUAAUAAUGUAUGUUAAUAAAUUUAGAAUAAUUAAAAGAAAUAUAAUGAACUAGAAUUCACUUUUUUCCUUCCUUUUAAAAUUAAUUUAGAAUUUUACGUCUUAAUUAUUUUAAAUUAAUUAGAAAACAUUAACGUCCAUCAUUCUAAAUGAGUAUUUAUUAAAAAAAAGAAAUAAAAAUAUAAAAUAUUAAAUUCUGAAAACCAAAUUGAAACAAAGUUCAAAUCUUAAAAUUUAAAACGUAACAUUUCACUCAAUAGAAACUAAACUUAAAAUCUAUAUAUAAAAUACUUAUUAUCUGACUGAACACCAAAUAUAAAUUAAAAGUCAAUUUUAAAUUUUUAAGAAUUUGAAAAUGAAAUAGAUUCAAACGUAAAAAUUUUAAUUUUACAAAUAUUUUAUUUUAGAAAAAAAUAUCAUUUUACAAGUAUGAAUUUUUCCAAUUCUAUCUGUAUAAACUUUAAAUUAAUAAAAUUUAUAAUCCAUUUUAAUAGUAAUUUUAUUAACCCAUUAUUUGAAAAGUAUGCACAGGAGCUAUAAUUGAAUGCAAUAUGGCAACUUUUAAAUGUAAUAUAAUCAUGAUAAAAGAUUUAGAUUAUUCACUUAUAACACUUUAGAAAUUUAAUUAAAAAGUUUAAUAUUUAAAUUAAUGAUUGGUUGUAUUAAUUGAAAACUUUAACUUUAUUUUUAUUACAUCAAAUUGCACUAAUAAAGUAGUGAAAGUUAGGAAAAGCAAAAACUAAAAAGCAAGAGGAAGUCCCCACAUUCCAUGCGACAUGUCGUAUUGAAAUAUGCUUUUAUCUCUUUUAAAAGUUGUUGUGUCGUUCGUCUCGUGGGAAUAGAAAACUAUUAGGAAUAUUUUGGAUAAAAAUCAUUAUAAUUUGGUCCAAAUCUUUUCUAAUCCACAAAAGCAACUUUAGGUUUUGUACUAAUACGAGCCAACCUUUACUAAUUUCUUUUACUAUUUGUUACGAUAGAUUUGGAUUAGAGGGAAAAUUAUCAGAUUAAGUAUUAAAACAUGGGAGUCUAGGUCGAUGUGUUCAAACUAACCUAUUAGGCCUCUUGUUCUUGGCCAAGGACGAUGGAGGCAUGCUCUGGCCUAUUUAGGUCAAAGUUAGAUCAAGAGGAAGUCUCUUCAUUUAAUGAAUGUGGGAUCAUUUGAUUGAGAAUUAACCUAAUAUGACUCGAAAUUCCUCAUAUAUAUAUGAACAACUUAGAUCAGAAUUUCACUAUAAAUACAUUGUUGUGAUGAUUUUAAGAGAAGUAAGUUCAUUUUCAUCCCUAAAAUUCUUGUUACAACCAAAAGCUACUUUUUGACUAAGGUAUUGGAGACGUGAUAAUUUUGUCCAUCAACACUCCCGAUCUUAAACUUAUAAUUACAUAGAACAUAUUGAUAAGGUAUUAAUGUCGGUCAAUAUGGUUUUACAUUGUAAAGAAAUCUAAAAUCAACAAAAUGUUUUGAUUUUUCUCUCGACGAAGAUAUUAGAUACUUAAAAAAAUUAUAUCUAUAAAUUUCAACCCUAAAUUACCAAUAAAACAUACUACACAUGUGAUUUGGUGAAAUCAAGAUUGGCAUCUUGGAUGUUCAAAAACUAAUAUAAAACAAAUUAAGAAAAGUUACCUAUUCAUUUAUAUUUGUUUGUUCUAAAAUAAAUUGAAUUGUUUUUCUAAACUUAACUUUUACACAGAAAACAAUUUUCGUCGAUGAUUAAACAAGAUCUCGAGAAUGAAAAUGAAAUCUACGAUACUUAAAUUCCUACCAACCAAAAAUCCUUUAAAUUAGUAAUGGAAGAAUGAAAUAUGAUCCUCUCAAUUAUUUAAUUAUAUUGACCUUUAUAAAUCACAUUUUUCAUGGCAACAUAUAAUUAUUGAUUCACUUUAGAUACAAUAAUAGUGAAGUUCUUAUUUGUGGAAUGGUAUGAUUGGUCAUAAGGCUAACUUUAAACUUUAACUUUAAUACCAAAAAGUUUCUCUCUCAAGUCUUGGUCUAUUAAAUAUUAUAAAGUAAAAGGACUCAAUUACAAAGUGAUUGCAAUAAGAGAAAAGAUAAAGGGUUUUAAAGCAUAAAAUAAAAAAGACAAGGAAAGAAAAUGGUUUCUUCACUGUAAAUAUUAUCAUUGUUGUCUUCAAUCAUUUGGUCUAUUUCUUCCCCUUCAAUAAUUCAAUACCCAAAUCAAUUACACAAUGUUUUCUAUUCUUAUUUAAUUUCUAACCUACCUUAAACCCGUUUACGCGUUAUAAAAAAUCACUUAAAUGAACUAAAAUUGUACCUAAAUGUUAGUGUGAUUUUGAGGAGAGACCUCGCAACAUGUAUAUAAAGUAUGUAGGUUAAUAUCUCGUAUUUCCAUUGUUCACAAUGUCUAUGAGAUACGUAGACCUUAUGUUGCAUAUGCUUUAAGAAAUUCUUUUCUCUAAAGAUUCAUUUAUUCUCGUAAUGUUUUAGUACAUACUCUUGGAAUUUCAGACAAACAUUUAAUAUAUUGAUUUGUUUUACAAAAUUUUACUUUUUAAAACUUUAAUAUUGUUAUCGAAAGAAACUUUAAAAUCUACCUAACAUGUUAGGAUUAUUUUAUAAAUUAAAAUAAAUUAUUUGUUAACAUUCUAAUUAUUUUUAAAAAAAUAGUAAAAGAUAGGAAAAUUUUCAAAAAUAAUAUAUUUGAGAAAAUAUUUAAUAUUUAGGAUUGAUAUCUUUAUUUCCACAUUAAGAAAAGUUUUAGAUAUUGUAUGAUGGAGUGUAUGUUCAUACAUAAAUAAAAAUUUGUAUAUUUUUAAUCUUUUAUAAAGGAAUGUGUUUUAUCUUUUUUUCUUUUCAAACUUUCCUUUCUAAAAAAGUAUAAGCAUUAAGUAUUAACACUUUUUCUCAAUUCAAAACUCUCCAUUUCAAUCCGCAUAACCAAAAAAGAUUCUUCAAUUCUUUGUCAUGAAAAUCCUUACUCCCUUCUUCGUCUUCUUCUUCCUUCUUCUUCUUCUUCUUCUUCUUCCUCCCUCCACUUCUCAAACUUCUUAUUACGUCCCUGUCGAUAACAUAGCCGUCAAUUGCGGUACCAAAGCCAUCACUGACACCGGCGAUCGAAAAUGGAUCGGCGACGUCGCUACUAAUUACUCCCCAUCCGAACCACCAAACACAGUCAACAAGUCCACCUUCAAGUCCAUUAUCUCAAACACCAUCAGCGACGAGAUCUACAGAACUGUACGCCUCUCUCGCUCUCCCUUCACCUACUCUUUCCCGGUCACUGCCGGCCCCAAAUUCAUCCGUCUCUACUUCUACCCGGAAAAAUACGAAGAAUUUAAUAGAUCCGAUGCCUUCUUCACUGUUCAAGCUGCCCAGUUCACUCUCCUUAAAAACUUCAGCGCUGCCCUCGUCGCUGAUUUCAUCAAUAAAAGCGUCAUCCCAAGAGAAUUUUGUAUCCAUAUCGCCGGAGAAGCACCAAAGUUGAACAUUACCUUCACCCCAUCUCCGAAUUCUUAUGCCUUCGUCAACGGAAUUGAAGUGGUCUCUAUGCCGGAAAACCUCUACUACUCUCCUGCGGAGCAGGGAACGACGACGCCGAUUAUUGGAAACAACAUCGCCCUUGAGCUUUAUCAUCGAAAAAAUCUUGGCGGUGACGACAUCUUUCCGAGUCAAGAUUCCGGCAUGUACCGAAAUUGGGAUGGGACUAAUCUACAUAUAACAACCAAACGAGUUAUCCCAAUACAUAAUGACUCUGUUUCUAUAAACUACACAACGAGCACUCCUAACUUCACAGCCACAGAUUCAGUUUAUCAGUCUGCUCUAAUUCUGGGUGUGAAUCGAACUCUCAAUUCUAAACAAAAUUUAUCGUUUCAAUUGCCCGUUGAUGUCGGGUUCAAUUAUUUGGUACGACUCCAUUUUUGCCAAAUUCUUAUGGAUCAGUUUCAAGGAAAACAGAAGAUUUUCACAGUGUUCAUCAAUAACCAAAAUAUCACCACUGUCGAUAUAGAUUCCAUCAAUACUCCUUUAUACAGAGAUUAUAAUGCACGGCCAAUGGCGGUUGGGAAUACUUCCGCUAUCUUAGUUGAUUUACACCCCUUACCAAGUGAGACCUUCGAUGUGAUUUUGAAUGGAUAUGAAGUGUUCAAACAAAGCAAUGGAACUAAUCUUGCAGUACCAAACCCAGUGGUCGCUCUAGCACCAGAAAUUAAACGGGGAGCCAAAAAUUCAAAUGCAACAGCGAUCAUCGCUGCUGUGUGCAGUAGCGUGGGAUUUGCCAUAUUAUCUUCAAUCGUUGGAUUUGUGGUUAUAUGGAAACAGAGUAAGAAGAUGAGGAAGAGAAGGAAGAAGAAGAAGAAAACAAGAGAGGAUAAGUUGCUGCCGGAACGACGGUGCCGGAUUUUCACCUUCGAAGAGAUUUGUGAAGCGACAGAUUACUUUAGCAAAGAGAGACAGAUAGGAGUCGGAGGAUUUGGUGCGGUUUACAAAGGAAUUUUCGAGGAUGAAGACGAUCUCACCGUCGCAAUCAAACGGUUGAACCCAGAAUCCAACCAAGGCGAACAAGAAUUCGUAACAGAGAUUGAAUUGUUAUCGGAGCUCCGUCACUUCAACCUUGUAUCUCUCAUCGGAUAUUGCUUGGAAAACAAGGAAAUGUUGCUAGUUUACGAAUAUAUGCCAAACGGAACAUUCAAAGAUCAUCUCUACGACACCUCGAAUUCUCUUCUAUCAUGGAGGAAGCGCCUAGAAAUCUGCGUUGGGGCAGCACGUGGUUUAGACUACCUACACUCCGGAUUCGAUCGACCCAUCAUCCACCGCGACGUGAAGACUACGAAUAUCCUUCUAGACGAAAAUUGGGUUGCAAGAGUUUCCGAUUUCGGGAUGUCGAAAUUGGGGCAAACCAACACGGCAGUCAGCACGGCAGUGAAAGGAACUUGGGGCUAUUUAGACCCGGAAUAUCAUCGACGUCUGAAAGUGACAGAAAAAUCCGACGUAUUCUCAUUUGGGGUCAUCUUGUUCGAAGUGCUGUGUGGGAGAAAACCAUUGGACCCGCUUGCCGGUGAAGAGAAGUUCAAGCUUACGCUAUGGGCUAAGAAAUGCUUGGAGAAAGGGAAUGCUUAUGAAAUUAUCGAUCCGCAUUUAAAAGGGAAGAUUUCAUGUGAUUGUUUAAAGCAAUACUUGGAAUUGGCGACAACGUGUAUCAACGAUCAUUCAAAGCAUCGGCCGAGAAUGGAGGUGGUGGAGGAGAAAUUAAGGUUCAUCUUGAAGCUGCAAGAGGAAGCAGAUGGGGAUUGUCCGGACACGGAAUUGAGUUAUCCAGAGGAGCCAUUUUCGCCGAUAAGGUCAUCAGGAGGUUCUCUACGGACUGAGUCGUAUAAAAGCCACAUCGCCACCAUGCUCAGCGGCUCCGAUUUCACGGUAUCGUCGCUUAUGAGUGAAGAAAUGUUAAGUGAACAGAGCUCCGGUUCUAUGGCGUAUUCUCGGAAGACAUAAUUUAUUUCUUAAAAAAAAAAUCCUUUUUGUUCUUCUUUUUCUUUUUAUAAUUUUAUUUAAAAUACCGUUUUAGCGGUUAGGUUUUGAAAAUAACGUUAUAGUUUGGAGUUGGUUUAGUUCUUAAAGCACUUAUGCUUUGAACUAAAAGUAAUGAAUAUAUAUAAACUAGUCUCUGUAAAUUUUACAAACGUAAUGUAUGUUUGUUGUGGAUUUUAUUUAAUUUUGAUUGCCAUACAUAUGACUUGAUUAAUAAAUUAAAUAUAUAUAUGAUUGUUAAAACAAUUGGUUGAAAGGGUAAUCUAAUAGUGAAGUUUUUAUCCGUGGAAUGGUAGGAUUGGACAUACAUCGUCUACCUAAUUAGGCCUUAUUCUUUUAACUUUAACUUUACUACCAAGAAGUCCCACAUACAAUUCUUGGUCUAUUAAAUUUUUAAAAGUAAAAGGGUCGGACUCUAUUGGCUUAUUAAGAGAAAACACAAAAGGGUUUUAAAGCAUAAAAAAGAAAGAGAAAAGGGAAAGAAAAUGGUUUCUUCACUCUAAAUAUUAUCAUUGUUGUCCUCAAUCAUUUGAUCCACUUCUUCCCCUUCAAUAAUUCAAUACCCAAAUCAAUUACAUAUGCUUUCUAUUCUUAACUAUAUUCUCACCUACCUAACCCUAAAACAAAAAUGUGCUAUCCAAACUAAUAAAAUGGUUAAACACUAAGAAAACUUUUAAAUAUUAUAUGUUAGUGUAUGUUCAUGAAGAAAUAAAAGUUUGAAUCUUAUUAAUUUUUUUAAGAAAAGAAUGUGUUUUAUCUUUUUUUUUUCUUUUCAAACUUUCCUUUACUUUUUAAAAGUAUAUAUUCAUUUCAAAACUCUCUAUUUCAAUCUGCAUAAGAAACAAAACAUUAUUUUUUCUUUAAAAAGAAUCUUCAAUUGUUUGCCAUGAAAAUCCUUACUCCCUUCUUCCUCUUCUUCUUCCUUCUUCUUCUUCUUACUCCCUCCACUGCUUAUCAAAGUUCUUAUUACAUCCCAGUCGAUAACAUCGCCGUCGACUGCGGCGGCAUCUCUGCCUUCACUGACACCGGCGAUCGAAAAUGGACCGGCGACGUCGCUACUAAUUUCUCCCCAUCUGAACCACCAAACACAGUCAACAAGUCAAUGGUAAAGUCCAGUAAUUCAAACACCAACAACGACCCUCUCUACAAAACGGUACGCCUCUCUCGCUCUCCCUUCACCUACUCUUUCCCGGUCACUCCCGGCCCCAAAUUCAUCCGUCUUUACUUCCUGCCGGAAAAUUUCGACGAAUUUCAUAGAUUCGACGCCUUCUUCACUGUUCAAGCUGCUCAGUUCACUCUCCUUAAAAACUUCAGAGCCUCACUUGUCGCUGAUUUCUCCAAUAAAAGCUUCAUCGCAAGAGAAUUUUGUAUUCAUGUCCCGGGACAAGCAUCAAAAUUGAACAUUACCUUCACCCCAUCUCUGGAUUCUUAUGCCUUCGUCAACGGAAUUGAAGUGGUCUCCAUGCCGGAAAACCUCUACUACUCUCCUGUGAAACAAGGAAGGACGACGCCGGUUAUUGGAAACAAUAUCGCCCUCGAGCUUUAUCAUCGGAAAAAUCUCGGCGGUGAAGACGUCCUUCCGAGUCAAGAUUCCGGCAUGUACCGAAAUUGGGAUGGGAGUAACCUAUAUAUAACCACCAAACAAGUUAUCCCAAUACAAAAUGACUCUGUUUCUAUAAACUACACAACGACCACUCCAAACUUCACAGCUACAGAUUCAGUUUACCAGUCCGCUAUAAUUUUGGGUACGAAUCGAACUCUCAAUUCUAAACAAAAUUUUUCGUUGAAAUUGCCCGUUGAUUUCGGGUUCAAUUAUUUGGUACGACUCCAUUUUUGCCAAAUUCAUAUGGAUCGGUUCCAAGAAAAAGAGAGAAUUUUCACUGUGUUCAUCAAUAACCGAAAUAUAGCCGUUGUCGAUAUAGAUUCCGUCAAUACUCCUUUUUACAAAGAUUAUAAUGUACCAAUGGCGACUGGGAAUACUCCAUUUAUCUUACUGGAUUUACACCCCUUACCAAGUGAGAGCUUCGAUGUGAUUUUGAAUGGAUAUGAAGUGUUCAAACAGAGCAAUGGAACUAAUCUUGCUGUACCAAACCCAGUGGUCGCUCUAGCACCGGAAGUUAAACGGGUAGCCAAAAAUUCAAAUGCAACAGCGAUCAUCGCUGGCGUGUGCAGUAGCAUGGGAUUUGCCAUAUUGGUUUCAAUCGUUGGAUUUGUGGUUAUAUGGAAACAGAGUAAGAAGAAAACGAAGAAAAGGAAGAAGAAGAAGAAAACAAGAGAGGAUAAUUGGCUACCGGAACGACGGUGCCGAAUUUUCACCUUUAAAGAGAUUUGUAAAGCGACAGAUAACUUCAGUAAAGAGAGAGAGAUAAAAGUUCACAGAGGAUUAAGUGUCAUUUACAAAGGAAUUUUCGAGGAUGAAGGCGAUCUCACUGUCGCAAUCAAACGGUUGAAAGACCUCCCGGAAUCGAACGUAGGGGAACAAGAAUUCGUAAGAGAGAUUGAAGUGUUAUCAGAGAUUCGUCACUUGAACCUUGUAUCUCUCAUUGGAUAUUGCUUGGAAAACCAGGAAAUGUUUAUAGUUUACGAAUUUAUGGUAAACGGAACAUUCAGAGAUCAUCUCUACGGUACAUCAAAUUUUCUUCUGCCAUGGAGGAAGCGCCUAGAAGUCUGCAUUGGAGCGGCGUGUGGUUUAAACUACCUACACACUGGAUUCGAGCGACCCAUCAUCCACCGGGACGUCAAUACAACAAAUAUCCUUUUAGACGAAAAUUGGGUUGCAAGAGUUUCUGAUUUAGGGAUGUCGAAAUUGGGGAAAACUAACAUGGCAGUCAGCGCGGUGGUGAAAGGAACUUAUGGUUAUAUAGACCCGGAAUAUUUCAAUAAUAAGACAGUGACAGAAAAAUCUGACGUAUACUCAUUUGGGGUCAUCUUGUUGGAAGUGAUCUGUGGGAGAAAACCAUUGGAACGGCUUGCUGGUGGGGAGUGGUUCGGCCUUGUGGUAUGGGUUUUGGAAUGCUUGGAGAAUGGGAAUGUUUAUGAAAUUAUGGAUCCGAAUUUAAAAGGGAAGAUUACAUAUGAUUGUUUUAAGCAAUACUUGGAAUUGGCGAUAACAUGUAUCAACCAACAUUCAAAGCAUCGACCGAGAAUGAAGGAGGUGGAGGAGAAAUUAAGGUUGAUCUUGAAGCUGCAAGAGGAAGCAGAAGCAGAAGCAGAAGCAGAAGGGGAUAUUUCCAACGGUGAUUAGAGUUAUCCAUAGGAGCCAUUUUGGCUGAUAAAGGCAGUAGGGCAUUUCCUUUUUACAAAACACAAAAACUGCUAUUUACAUUUGUAAUGGACUUGUGUUUAUUCGCUUAUGACUGAAGAAAUGCUAAGUGAACAAAACAUUCGGAUAUGCUAUGUGGCCUAUUUGAUCAGAAGACAUAAUUUGUUUUUCAAAAGUUCCUUUUUAUAAUUUUCUUUAGCCAUUAGGUUUUGGAAAUAAGGUUAUAGUUUGGAGAUGGUGUAGCUAUUAAAUCACUUAGUGCUUUAAAGAAAAAGUAAUGAAUGUAAAUUAGGUUUUGUAAAAUUUCAACUUUUUCCCUAACUUAGAUCACUUUAACUAAAAUUUUAAUUUAAAAUGUCAAAUUCUCAGCUCCUACUUAAAACCUAACAUGUGUAAAAUUAAUAUUUAUCUUAAAUCCUUAAUCUUACACGUUAACGCCUUUCAAAUAUCAGAUUUGAUAUUUUUUCGUCAAACCUUUCUUCUCGCCUAAUUCCAUUUGGCAAAUAGCUUUAACUCCUUAACAUAACUUCCAAAUGUCUCUUAACGCGUAACUCUUCUCGCGGACUACCCAACUUUAUCGCGAAGACUCUUUCUCAGUUAAACACCUAGACUUCAUAGAUCUUAUCGCAAAUCCUUAUUUUCUCAAAGUUUCCUUGCAAACUAACCUCUUAAUCACGUAGACUGACCAAAAUGCUCUUGUCUAAAUCGGAAAAAUUGAAUACCUGAGCAAAUUUUACUUCUUAUACUCAAAUUAGAAGCACGUCUCACAAACCGAUAGCACAUUUUUCAUAUUGAAAACUAUCACUUAUAGAAAAACUACUAAUAACAGCUAUUUAUGAUAACGAUUGAUUGCACAUUUCUCAAAUUUAAAGUUAUCAUAGAUAGUAGUUGUCGAUCAUAUAUAUAAUUCAAAUAAAAGUCAUUCUUAAAGCAACUGAUAACAAUUAUCAAUUAUCAAUUUUAUGCUACAUACCAAAAUUAUUUUAUCCUUGUCUUAAAAGUUAUUUAUGCAACAAAUCCUUGCAGUACUUAAGUCUCAAACUAAUAAUACUUCCUUCAUUGAUUUGAUUCCCUUCUUAUUACAAAUUUUAUUGUUUUGCAUCAACUGUUUGACGUUAUUUAGCUUAAAAGAAAAACUACUCUCUACAUUUGUAUAGACUAUAUCUAGAAAAACAAAAAUAACGAAACCAUCGCUUGGACUAAUGACUUAAAUGUUUCAACAAGAUUACACUCUACCAUAAUUGAGUAUGUGUUAAUACAUAUACAUUGUUUCAAUUUAAUACAUGAAAUUGAGACGUGUGGAUCAUAAUUAAAUUUAUGGAGAUGAAAACUCUGUCAAUCGUGUUUGUAAUUCAAGUUACUCUAUUUAUCAUAACGAAUUGUUAAAACAUUAUUGGUUGAAUUUUACCGUGGGAUAUGUUAUGGUUUGUAUAUAAGCUGUGUUUAAAGUUGGUUAUACAAAGAUUAGUAUCAACAUUAACUUUAACCUUUUCUUUAAUUAUUAAAAAUAUUUAAUGGCAACUUUUGAAGGUUAAAAAAAGAGAAUAUUUUAACCUUCAAAGUUAUUAACCAUUUUAUUAAAGUUUUAGAGUAUUAUUUGAUUUGCUCUUUUUAAGUCAAAAUUGAUGGGAUCAUACAAAAGAAGAAAACAAAACCCUAACUUUACUUUACUUUCACAUUAUUUUCUUUCAUCUUCUUCCUUCCAACUCCGUUGCUCCCCAAUAUUUGAACUGCUGCUUUUGCCAACAAUCGAAGGACAGACUAGCGAAGAAUUGGGUUGCCGGAGUUUCACAACACCGACGCAAAGCUCUAGACUCUCAUAAUGAGCAACAAGCAGGGCCCUCCCAAGCACCAGAACAAAUACGCUUGGAAACCCAACGCCGGCCGCAAAAUCAACGAAACGGUAAUCUAAUUUCACCACCUUUUUUUUCUCUUCUUUUCUGUUAUCUAAAUGUUAACCUCCUUCGCUUUUACUAUGACAUUUUUAGUACAGGAGGUUGGAGGUAGGUUCCGCCCCUUAUCUGACAUCACCGGAGUUUGUCUCCGUUGUAAGGACCAAAUUGAUUGGAAACGCCGUUACGGAAAGUACAAACCUCUUUCUGAACCUACUAAAUGGUAUACAUACUUUUUCUUUUUUCUUCCAUUUUUUCGUUAUUUGUUUCUUUUUCUGAGGUUGGAUUGGUAAAUUUGUGUUGAAUGUAUUGCAGUCAAUUGUGUUCAAAGCGGAAUGUUCGUCAAGCGUAUCACAAUCUCUGCCCCGGUUAGUUUAAAUUAUCAGUAGCUUUCUUGUUUAUGUGAAUUUAUUUUUGUUGUUCUGAAGAAAUAAAUUUCUAGGGGAAAAUGUGUCAUUAUGAACGAAGUUCAGCAGUAAGAGCUAAGAGUGACUUUAAUGUUUAUAUAGGUUGUGCCAAGGAGCAAGGUGUAUGUGCAAAAUGUCGUUGUCGUGUAGAUCAAACUGUUGGAAGGUGUGUUUUAUGAAUUGCUGAAGAUUAAUGUGUGAAUUUUGUGGACUAAGAAUGAAUAUCUAGUGUUACAAAAACUGUUUUUUAAAUUCUAAGGCCUUUCCAUCUGUCUUUUCUAGGGAUUUGUCUGAAGUGGAAGCUGAGCAAAAGAUGCUUCAAGAGGUAUGAUUUUCCCCUCAUGUUAUGGUGAUAAAUUUUCAAAUGUAGCUCACAGGUUUGGUGAUUGCUGCAGGCAAUAAAGAAUGCUCGAGAAAGGGAUCGUAGAACUCUGUUACGUGCUGUAAGCUUCUGUUUUUUGUUAUUGUUUAUUUUAUUUAUUUACUUAUUAUUUUGUUUAUUUGCAUAUUGAAUGAAACUACGAAAGAUAUUUGGUGAAUAAAAUAGAAUUUUGGAAGUUAUAGAGUGUUUGUCUAGCACUUGAGAAUUGAGAGCAUUUUGUUCACUUUUGUGCCUCAAUUGUUUUCUGUUUGGGGAAGCCUUUUUUCAACACUCCCUACACCUAGUGCUGUUUUUAAUGGCUUAAUGCAAGGUCUCAAUGUAAAGAGCAACACGUAUUUUCCAUUUCAAGAGUUAGUCAUAUUUUGUAAAUCAGGUUAACCUUAGAAGUUGGACGAGUUGUGCUGGUUGUAAAUAAGCCAAGAAGUAAUUACAAAGGCUCUAUGUUGAGCACUCCCACUAGAGGUUGUAAGCAGGAAAAGUUUACCAAAAGAUUAAAGAGAAUUGUUAAGGAAAAUCCUCAAGUUUCUUUCUAGCACAUAACACACAUUAGGGCAACAGCAAAUGUAGGGAAUCUUCUUUGAACCAAACCCAUUGUAUUGAUAUUAUUCAACGCCACAGUCCACAAAAAGAAUUUCACACUUGGAGAGAAGACAAACCCAAAUCUGUAAACAAAGGUCUUCAUCAAUCCCUAUUUUUUUCCCCUCCUGAAGAACUACUUCCAUAGCUGAUUUGAUAGAAAAUACUCCAGAUUCCAGAACUAUCCACCUUCCAGACCAGCAUGUUGGCCCUUUGGGAAGGAAAAUUUUUUUUUGAACAUGGAAGCUAGUUGAGCUCAUUGGAAUGCUUUUAUCUACCCCCAGCCCCAGCCCUUUGAAUGUUUUGUUCUCUUUUGAAAUAUAUUCCUUCGCUUCCUAUAAAAAAAGUUAUUUAAUCUAAAUUCUGUGAUGGUUUCUCUUGAAGUGUUGAGCUCUAUGACAUCUAGUCAUAGUAAUUUUGUGUUGCAUUGUAACAGUAAGAAUUGAAUUUAUAGUAAUUCGAUGGACCUCUAGCCCUCUAGGAACCUUUGAAAAGAAAUCUCAAAAUGUUUCCCCACUUCUUGUUUGUUAUGUAUGCUGGUAGUAGUGGCAGGAAGGAUCCUCAGCUUUUCAAUAGUUCUAUCGAAUUGUUAAUCUUAAACUAAUAUUCUUCAUACUCACAAAGAAUCUUUUUCCUCCGUUAUUUUGUUGAGGGCCAUGUCUCAUUUCAUUUUGGGAUCUGUGAGCCAUUUUCAAUGUAGUUACAUCAUGGACUUUCAUGGGGUAGCCAUAACAGGAUCUUUUGUAAUUUUUCCAUUCAUUCAGUUAGAUUGGAAGGGCUUUUUUUCUUUUUUUUUCUUUUUUUUUUUUGGUUUUGUUUCUGUAAGUUUGCAGGGAAGCGACUUCUUUUAGAAUGAAAUGUUUUUUUUGUUCUUAUAUAACAAAAAAGGAAUUUUUUGGUCGGUUUUUUUUUCUCUUUUCUCUCUUUUUUCUCACUCAUCUUCAUAUAAUUCAAGAUGCAAGCUGGUUUUUUCACUCAUCUUAGUAAAAACUGGUUUUUUAUUUUAUUAUUAUUUUUUCGUUUCGAUUCUCUGGUUGAUUCAUAUAAUUUGUUUAAUUGAAACAGAUGGAGAAAGGAAAAGCUAAGAGUUCAAAUAAAAACAAAUCAGCAGUUGAAGAAGAAACGAAGGAUGGAGAUUCAAUUCAUUCACCAACUGAAGUGCAAGCUGAAAUAGGUCGAAAUGAGGAUGAUAAUGAAAGUACAGACGACACGGAUGGAGAUAACUACGAAAAUGAAGAUGAACAUGAAUGUGAAAAUGAGAAAGAUGAAGAUGGGAAAGAGUAGUAAAUUAAAAUCAAUCUUUAUGGCCAUAGAAGUUUGUAGAAUCCUAUUUCUUUGUAUGAGGUUAAAUUUUGAUUGAGUUCUUCAUGUGCUUUGGUUCUCUAGGAGUGAAAUCAACUAUUGUGAUAUAAAAUUUUGGUUAAAAUACCUUUUUGAUUCUUAUAUUUAUGAAACAUUCUUCUUUUUUUCUUUUUUUUUGAAGAUGAGAAGAUCACACUUUGUUUUCUAUCUUGGUUGGUCUAGGGCUCUUCCAAAGAGGACAUGAAAGUUGAUUAUAAUGUUAUCCAUCGACCCCUCCUUCAAAUCUAAGAAACUUAUCUGAUUUACCACUGUCGGUGUAGUUUUGUAGAAAAUUUGAGAAAGAAAGAAAUGCUAGGUCUUUUCCAUGGCAAAGAUAGAUCCUCCAAAGAAGUUUUAGAGAUUUCAAUUUUUCAUGCUCUUAUAUUUGUCUAAAAUGUACUAUCGGUUGUAAAUUGAAAACAUCGUUCAUUCAAUCAAUGAAACAGUUUCUUACAAAGAAAAGCACAAUCCUACAUAAAUUUCUACCAUUUUUUUAACAUUGCUUAGAAAAACUUAGAUUUUAGUAGUUUUUUGUGUUGGUUGGUUAAACUUGUGUCUUCCCUAGAUCUGAUUCAUUUUUAGCUCAUCUAUUUUAGACAAAAGUAACAAAAAAGUGGCUUAGCACAAGCUCAACUAGCAUGUGCUGAGGACCUUUUGAUACGUGGUUCAUCAAACCCCCUAACCCCAUUUCUAACAGAAAAAAAACAAACUCAAAGACCAAAAUAUUAAAUUUCAAAAGCCUUGUAAGUGUACUGAAAUGAUUGAUCAAGAAUAAUAUUUGUUAGUUCAAAUACAACGUGAGAAUACUAAGCUUACAUUCUCUUUUUUGAUGAACUGAGUUUAUUGUGAUGAAAUAUACUAAAAUAUGUCUAAAAAAUUCAGGGGCUAUUCGAAAUCAACUCCCUAAAAAUGAAUGUGGUUUUCAGAUGGAAUGAAAUUCUGCUCUGUAGUCAAUACACAAAUGCUUCAACAGCAAUAACCUAUCUUCAAGUGAAUUCUAGCCUUGUUUUGAGGACAAAAAGAGUUGACAAGUUGCUUCCGCUCUAAAAUCUUUGAUGAGGUCAAGUCUGUUCAUCUUUUGCACACAACCGCUCUAAAUUUUGAACAACAACAUCGCAUGAGAAGGGGAAACUAUUCACAAAUAUAACAGAGAUUAAAGUAAAAUGGUGUGUAGAUUUAAGAAAAUUACAUCCUAAUAACUGCAAAAAGUAACGAGUGAGAGAUUUGAAACUAUGCGUUUAAAGUUCAAAAGAAAAUUUUUGAUAUACGUGCAAUAAGUAGGAGGUUUGGCUCAAGGAUUUAUGUGCUUCUCACAACUAAAAAAACAUAAAUUUCAUGGCUUACUAAGUUCUUACACGGUGGAUCUCACAAAGUUAACAAUUCUAGAUUUUUUAACUAUUUGUUCCCAAUGUCUUCUAAAAAGUUCCCAAUAAUUCAUAUUCGCAAUAAGGAUUCCCAUAAAAGAUGAAUAUUUUCUGCUUUGAAGAUGUUGACAUCAACAUAAAAAAUGGUCUAUAAUUGAACGUAGAUAUGUGUAGAUAUGUGCGUAUGCAUGUGUUCAAUUGUAUCAUUAAUAAAGUGCAGGCUAAAGAAGUCUUACUCAAGUACUCGUAGGCCAAUAUCAUCGAUGUUCCCCAGGCAGACAUGCUGAAGAACCGAGGACCAAGCCCCCUAUAAAAACCUUUCCACCCAUCCUCAGCGAUUAAGCUUUCAACAAUUUGUCUAGCUGUCUUCCCUUUAUCGCCCAUCACCUAUGAACAAACACAACUCAUCAAAACAUAGAACUCAUCAACAGAACCUGAGUCAGAAAGUCAUGACUCGUCACAUGGAUGAAAUUAAGGUAGUACUAUGAUGAGAUACUACCUUUCCAUAAUGAUUUAAAAAAUCUCAAAAAGACAAAAAAGGUUUCAGAAAUUCGAAUUUGUGGUUAUUUGAUGUUCUAUUUAUAAAAAAAAAAAUAUGUGAGUGAUCAAGCACUUAUGUGCAUUUUGACUACAAAUCUAAAAAUACUUGGUAGUCAAGAAACUCAGAUAUCUAUCAGCCUUCACAAGAUCAUAUAUUGAAAAUUUGGGAGGUUGUUGCAUCUAAAAUUGCCUCACCCCAAGGGGCCUUUGCCUUUAUCAAAGCAAAAUAGUCUUGGGGUUGAGCAAGCAAGGCCCAAGCUAGAUACUGACAUUUGGAACCUUGCACGAGAGUUUCAAGUUUUAGCCUGAUUACAUGUACAACACCAACCAGUGAAGGCAAUGCUUUCCCAAACUUCAGUACAACAAUUAGUAUAAAAAACAGAUUACCAUGGCAAAUCACAAUGAUCAACAAACCCACCAAUCCUCUUAUUUUAAAUAUCGCUGCUCCAAUGAGACUGUUGCAGAAUGAACGAAGCAGGUGGGUGCCAUCUACAAUUUGCAUUUUAGAUAGUCAAAUAAUAGUGGGGACUUGACCUUCCUAGACUAAUGAAUUACUCAGGAAACUUUACGAAGUAUAGAAGGGCUGGUUUGGAUUUUCUUCAGAGCCACUAAAUAAAGUGUUAGACAAGGUGACUUGUCUCUUCCCCCUUUCCUGUUGUAGGCUGGGUUGAUAUCCCAAGAAGUCGUUUGGAGAAAAAUAUGAACCCCAAUACCUGAUCUUUUAGGUUCGGGGAUAGGAACCAUUCUAUUAAUUUUCCCAUUUAAAGAACAGUCUCUUUUUCCUGUUUUUAUUUAAGGACGGCCAUUUCCAAUUCGGUCAGUGGUAAACCUUAUAGGGGUUUUAGCAAGUAGAGCGAGGAGUUCUAAGUUGGACAAGUAGUUUUAGUGGCAAACUGGCAGUGCCAAAUGAUCAAAGAGUUCAAGGGCGGCAACUUCAGAACAAGGAGAGGUUAGUUACAUUGGUGAAAAAAGAGGCUUCUAUGCCUUGGAACUCUUGAGAAAGAUUGUUUCAAAAUCCAACCCUUAUCCUCAAGACUGGUGCUCUUGGGACUACCAACCUCAAGAAGGAAUUACAAAGCUUUUUGAUGAAAAAAGUAAAGAUUUUUCACAUGAAACUGGAGAGUUGUGAAAUUUUUUUUUGAAAGAAAGUUUGGGGUGGAGAAAAGGUUUUCAAACAAGAGUAAUUUUGGUAAAUACAGAGGCCUGCUUGUAAACUAAGAACAACACAUGCCACCAAGAAACCCCCGAAAUUAGACCCACUCAGGUUUUUAAGCAAAGAAAACAUUCAGGGAAAAAAAAAACUUGGGAGUACUCUGAUAACCCCCCUCAGUGAAAGGGUGUACUCGUAAGCACAAGAAGGGAUGAAGAGAGGAAGCUGUAAAUGUGGGAUAUGGGAAUAUUGUUAGUUGGGGUGUGGGUGUGGGGGGGAGGGGAGGUAUCUUUUUGGCAGUUAAUCUUGUAUUGGUCUUUGAGGAGAAUUGGGGGAUAUAGGGAAGCUCUUGAAUUUAUGCCUCCGUUGUUGAUAAUAGAUAAAUAAAAUUGAGACUAAGACCUAUUAUAAAGACCCAAAAGGAAGGUACUGAAAUAUGUUGAACUCCACAUCUCAAUCCCAAAGACCCUCCAAAGUCCAAACAGUAAGAAAAUACGGCCUAUCAAAGAAUUCCUCAUUUAUCACGAAAAGAAAAAUGCAAAAGCACCUUCUCCAACUGAAAAGUCUUAAUCAAACCCAUACCCACGCUUCCAGUUCCAGGGAGUGUCCAAGAUAGCUUUCUAACAUUUUGUUCGGCAAAUAAAAAAACCUUAGACCAACAUGGCAUUAUUGAUAAAAAUUUCAGACAGUAAACAGAGGCUCUCAUAAGGUCUAGCCUUUCGAGUCGACAAGUAGAGCUUUAAAUAAUGUAACAAACAUUUGCAGAAUUGUCAAUUAUGGUUUGAUAACACAGCUUCUAUGACAGUAGAAACGGAAAAUAAUAUUUGGUAUCAAAUAAAAGCUAAUAACAAAUGUACAAUGAGUCAGUGAGAAGACUGGUUUGAUGUCAACUGGGGUGGCCUAGUAAGUACCUGUAAGCGAGUCUUUAUAGUGUCCAAUGGUGUUGUAAUGCAGGAAGCUGUUGCACCUGCAAUUAUUCCACCCGCAGCUUGAACUGAAAUAAGUUGGGAAUGGCUGGGAGAAAAUUUCUCUGAAGCAGAGUUUUGACCUAAGAACCUUCAAUGCCACAAAACAAAUAUAACAAUUCCAACGUCAAAAAAGAGAAACCAAUUUAAACAGAAGAAACCACCGCAACCGCAUCAUGUAUUUGUGCAAAUAACAACUGUCCAGUUGGACCCUCUGAAAUUCCAUAUUAUAUCUUUUUGCCAGUAUAGCUAUGCUCGCACUCAUAUAUAAAGCUCAACAAAUCCCUACAUGGAUGCCCUUUACAGUGCCUAAACUCCCAGAAGGCGAAUUAUUCGAAACACAGUAAUCAAGAAGAGACUAGAACCAAGGUAUAUAGUAAAGGACAAAGUAAUUAACAAUAAAUAAUAUAGCAGUAUCUAUUUAGAAUGUACCUCGUUGACAUAAACAUUACUAUUUACCAUCAAGAGACUAAUAAUUUCUUUCAUUCAUUGUUUCUUGUCCAAACAAAAAAUAAAUAAAUAAAGUAAAAAAUAAAAGAAUUUCAUUCAGGACCAAAGAAAGUGAAGAUGAAAAUUCUAACCAUUACCAGUCCUUAUGCAAUGACCCAAACUCAACACUUCAACACAAUGAAGGGAAAUUACCACGUCUCACCUCCAGAUGACGCGUUGACUUGCACCAUAACUUGCCCACCAUACAGCACUAGAUGGAGAGUAGGUCAUAACAGAUAACCCAAAACCUUUAUACAGUCCCCGAAUCCCAUUAGACUUUAUCAGUUUACGAGCAACAUCUAAACCCCCAGUAUAUCUUGUAUUUCCGGAGUAUCCUUGAACCAUUAGCUUUUGACUAAUCUGAGUGACAUCAAAUAUUCAAGCUUUUAAGCGAUAAUAGAUCAACAAAAACAAUAUUUUAUCAAAAACUAAACCAGUCCUACAUACCACAUCAAUUGGAACGAAAACAGCUUGAGAAAAAAGUGAUGCAGUCAUGCCAGCUAACCCAUUUGCCAAAGCAGCCUGUGUAGGUUCAGAAAAUUUAAAUGGCUCAACCAGUUUAUAGGCUCCCACUUUGGUAGUCUCUAAAGCAGUAAGAAAGAUGAUCCUUGCAGGAAUUGCACCAGUGAUUACUGUGCCAAACCCUCUAUAAAGACCAGGAACCCCAUCAUUCUUCAGUAAGCCUUUGAUAACAGACAGGGCAUUUCUCUCGGCAGAAUCCUUUACAGCGACCUGCAUCCUUGUUUUCACAACAGAAACAGGGUACAGUGCAACAGUAAUCCCAGUGAAGAGGCCAGCUCCUACGCCAUAAAAUUUUGCUUUAUCAAGCCUGCAGGAACAGGAUUAAUAAAUAAAGUAUCAUACUAGAUAUUGCAACUUCUUAGUUUCAACAUGCUCAGAAACUAACUAGCACAAAUGCAGGUACAAGAUGCAGAGUUUGAUGUAUUUCGCACUCAAUAUUUAUUAUUGUUUUUAUACAUGUGUCCUCAUAGUAUACUUGUUCAAGUGUUUGAUGCAUGUCGAACAAAUGUUUGUCCUACUUUGACUGUGUACAGCUAGUGUCAAACACAUCUAAUGCAAUUUUGCACUAAAAAGUAUCUAAGACAUGUCCAACAAGUGUUUAAGUAACCAAGUGUCCAACACUGGAUAUGCUAGCCAAACUAAAGUGUCCAUGCUUCUUAGCUCAUAGUAACCUACUUAUUUCCAAAAAUUACAAUUAUGUGUGCCAAUGCAUAAACACAACAAAUAUCCAGCCAAUUUCAUGGAGCAUUUAGGUCAAAGAAAUAUGUAAAUUAUAAUGCGGUAAAUGUUGAGAAAAAGAAUGGCACAAACAUUGCAACUAGAAUAUUGCAAAUCUCAAGUUUCAAGAACAACAAGUCAGUGUAUUACUUUCAAAAGCAAACGAUUUAAAGUUUCAAAAGCAUGAGCACCAUCAGAGGCUAAAAAUAGCAUCUAGUAGACUAGCAAUGACUACCAAGAAUACGGCUGGAACCUACUAUUGGGUAAUUGUCAGAAAUAGCACACAAAGGAUGUUCACGAGGCCAAAUGAGUCUUUCUGAUGGAGGAGGGUCGAAACCUUGGAAUAACUAAAACCAAUUAGAUUACCCCAAUUUUCAUCAUAAUCUUUGAAGAGGAAGCUGCUGGGUGGGGGCUGUCUCCUACUCUCCUUUGUCUAAUGCUGAAGAAUUUGUUACAGUUUCGCUUACUCACUUGCAAGGGCAGCCAUUUUUUGGGUUUUCGAUCACCCUUCCCGCUCCACUUUGGAGGAAGAGAAUAGUGUCUUUCAGGCUUCCAACUACUGCAUUAAUGAAGUUUGUUUCAAGCAAACUAAAAUAACAUUUUUAAUCAUCCUCCAGAGAAAAAUGAAAUCAAUUUCAUAACUUCCCAUUGGUUUAGUGGAAACCACCAGGAAUUACUUGGAAAAUGUUGUGACCUAUGUUCUUAUGAAACAUUCAUCUAAUGACUACUAGGUCUAACUCUCCACCAAAAAAGUGUGAACACCGAAAAAGAAAACAAGGAAAAAAAAGAAAGCAUCACACUCACACUCAUUCAAGUUUUUCUGUUCUUUCCCACUCUUCGUCUUGGUCAUAAGAAGUUUUUGGCACCCAGAGGACCGAUUAAAAAAAUAGGCCAAAUAGAGAGUUAUUUGUAAAAGGUCAAAAAGAAUUUGUACUACUUCUAACAAUUUCCAACCUACUGGCAACAUUUCCACAAACCAAGGCAAAUCAUCAAACUACAAUGAGUAUGUUGAAGACAGAACCAUCCCAAAUUUCAACUUCCAAGUCCUAUUUUAAACCCCAGGUUGAUUCUUUAAGUAUGAGAAGACGUUUCAAAUUUAAUCCACUUGAUCACAUCUCAAGAUUUGAUUCCUCCAAACCCUGAUGAAGGAUCUUUCUCUUCUCUCUCCCACACAUACAUUAAAUUCCACACAGUUACAAACUUCCCUCUUUCCCUCGAUAUUUCUUAUCUUUAAUAUCAUCAAGAACCAAAAUAGAGCGCCUAAUAACUCCUCCAUCGACGCAUGCAUCAAAGUCAUUAAUAAGGAGAACAAACAAACAAAUCCAGAAUGGUCAAUUAAUACUAAAGCGAGUCAGCAAUCAUUAUCAUUCAACGCAAUAGCUGAGUCAAGUUACCAAAAUCAAAGAACAGAUAUGAUAUGCAAACACAAAACAUAAAUGAAAUGAAACGAAUCAAAGCAAAUGGAUAAUUUCCCAAAAAAGCAGAGGAGACGAAAGGGAAGGUUGAAAUUACUUGUCCCAGUUGAUCUCAGUUUGACCAAACGAUUGAAAUCGCGAACCAUUCGCAUUCAUGGCCUCCCUUAUGCGAAUCAACCAAACAAGAUGGGCAAAGAAAAUCAAGAACGCAUUGAUGAUUCCAAGAAGUCGGGAAACCAAUUAAUGUCGCCGAGAACGAUUGGAGUCGUUCCGACGAGGUAAAUCUCGAAGACCAACAAGAAGAAAAGCAAAAAAGGAUACGAAAAUGGACGUGGGUCGGCUAGUUCUUCAGAUAUCGACGAACAUUUCUUGGGUUUCUCUCAAAUUGAUUGCUUGGAGAGAAAACAAUGUUGUGGGAAAAGGGUGUUUUGGUUUUUCUUUCUCUUAACCGUAAAUUCUUCGCUGUUCUUCUUUGUUCGUCAAAGAGAGAGCGCCUGUCUCGCGUUGGCAGUGAAGAAAGGCGGCCUUUGAUAUAAAAAACGGCCUUUGGCUACAGAUGGCUACUCCCUAAUCACGCGGCGCCUUGUCUUUCUGUUCACCUUGGGUUCUUAAUUCGUCUCACAUAUAAUAUAUUCGUUAGUUCUUUCUUCUUCUACAAACAUAUAAGGGUGGAAAUUCUGAUUCCUAACCUAAGCACAUUUUGAAUAGCACAAAAGUAUAUGUCUAUUCAAAAAGAGAGAGGUUGAAAUUGAAACAUACCCAAACUCUUCUUCAGGUUUGCCUUGCCUAUACUAAGAUCCAAUGCAAAAUUGGGAGAGGGCAACGCAAAUGUGCCACCUAUAAUGAAACAAAAAAUAGUCUUACGUUGUAGAUUGACUACUCGAGCAAACAAAUAUAUCCAUUAGGGAAGAAUUGAGUUUUGCUCGAAGUGAUACCGUGUAGCCAUGAACAUCGUAUUAACGACUAUCAAAUAAGGUGUCAUUGACAAUGUUUCGAGUCGUAAUAGGAGAACACUGUAAAUAGUCUCAUUUGCAUUGAAAUGUGGUAGGCUCAACAACACACCGGUGGGAAAAUUGUUUAUGGAGGUCGACUUGAAAAAUGCAAGACCAAACAAGGAGAAGUCAAGCUCUAGCUCACACAACGAAGAAAAUAUACAAAAUUUUGGAGUUAUUGAUCAAAUGGUUUGUAUGCUCCAAAAUUUAUGGAAACCCAUAUUCCUUAAAGGAAUGAGAGAAUCUUGGAGAAGAAAAAUGUGACAAUGGUUGUUGAUUGUUGCACAAAGGUACAUAACGAAAAUAAAACUUUGAGGCAGUGUGCCCAACUUUAGUGUAAAUAUGACGAUGUGGUUUAUUUCUAUUGUUCAAAUUUUGAUCGUAUCACCCACCUCAAUUUACUCUCCUCAAUUAUUCUCCUAUGCAAGAAGGGCAUUGGAAGAGCAAUAUGCUUUCUCUUUUCUACUUUCUCCUUUUUUUUUCUCAAGAUGGUUUGUUUUGCUACCGUAGUUCCCUUCAUAUAACUUUUUAGGUUGUUGGGUUGCGUAGUUUGUUCACAUAUACAUACAAACACACAUAAAAUAAUGAGUCAAAUACAUGAAUGAAUAUAAUACGUUUGGUUGAAUUAGUAUAACCAAAACACAUCAAAUAAACCUCCCUAAAAAGUAUGAAUUCUAAAAUAUGAAAACAAAAUUAUAUUCUACACGAAUCCAAACUAGUGGAAGUCUUAACUAAAACGAGAGAGAAACAAAUAUAUAUAAAAAAAUCUGAAUAUUUUAUUGAUAGGAAGAAGUCACACACUUUCAAAAAAAAAAAAAGUUCAAAUUAACUGACACUUGUACGUAAUUAAGAACAAAAAAGAGUCAUACCUUAAGCAUUGAAAACUAAUACAACAUCAACAUAAUUCAAAUAACAUAAAAUAAAAUAGGAAUUAAAAGAAGUUUGGGAAGAAAAAAAAUGUGCCAACAAUGGUCAAUUCCAACCCAACUAAUAUUACCAAAUGAAACUUCCUAAUGUUCACACCUUCCAAAUAAUAUCUCAUUUAAUUUGUAAUGCCCAACAAACAAAUUAAAUACCCACCUAAUUAAACAUUUGAAUUUCUUCUUCUCUUAUUGAUAUAUGAAUUAAGAUGAAGAAACCCUGUUUUCAUAUCAACAAACUUCUAAGUAUUUCAUUAUUCCUCAUCUUCUCAUUACUUCUUGAAGCAGCAGUAGCUGCAGCAACCUGCUCCAAUGGACCUUGCAAGGUUUUUGCUUUCUUUUUUUCUCUCUCUUUAUUUGGAUUAAUAUUAUUGAUGAUUUCUUUUUCUCUAUUACUACUUUAUUAUAUACUUUUGUGUUUUGUAAUUAAGGUGGGGGAUCAAUGUUCUUCAAGUGAAGAUUGUGGAGAUGGACUGUACUGUUUUUCAUGUAUACCAACAUUCUUUGGUGGCUCCAAAUGUGUUAGAUCUACUUAUACCAAUCAAUUCAAACUUUUGGUAUAUAUAUUAUUUAUCCAAUUUUAAUUCCUCCAUUUUCUUUUCAUCAUUUUCUGUUUCUACUUUUGGAUUUUAUGCAUUGUUGCUCUUGGUAUCUAGCCUAAGAUCUAGGGAUGUUGGUAGGGUGAGUCGAGAUAAGGAGUCGAGAGAGAUUUAUUUGAUAAUUGUAGGUUUAUUUUUUCACAUUUUGAUAACUUUAUAUUUCUUUAUUUAUGCAGAAUAAUUCAUUGCCAUUCAAUAAGUAUGCAUAUCUAGCAACCCACAAUUCAUUUGCUAUUGAAGGAGAGCCCUCUCAAACAGGAGUUCCACGAGUUACUCUUAACAAUCAAGAGGACACAGUUUCUCAACAACUUAAUGUAACAUUAUAAUCAUUUCCUUUUAUAUUAUAACCCAAAAAAAUUUCUUAUGAUCAGUACUCUAUGUUUUUUAUGUUAAUUAAUAUUUCCUAAAUGAUAUCAAUAUUAAUGCAGAAUGGAGUUAGAGCUUUCAUGUUGGAUACCUAUGAUUUUCUUGGAGAUGUUUGGCUAUGCCAUUCCUUUGGAGGAAAAUGCUACAACUACACUGCAUUUGUACGUUUGAAACCUUCUACUUAAGAAUGAGUUCUUAAAUAAUGUUUGAAAAGUCAUUUUCAAACGGAGUUCUAAAUUAUUUACUUGAAUUUUUGUUCCUAUAGGAACCAGCACUAAACACACUGAAGGAAAUAGAGGGUUUUUUAGAAGCAAACACCGAAGAGAUUGUCACGUUGAUCUUAGAAGAUUAUGUUCAGUCUCCCAAUGGAUUGACCAAGGUAUUCACCAAUGCCGGGCUAAAGAAAUUUUGGUUUCCGAUCACGAACAUGCCAAAGAAUGGUGAGGAUUGGCCUCGAGUCUCUGACAUGGUUGCUAACAACCAAAGGUUGCUUGUUUUCACAUCAAAUAACACAAAGGAAGCAGCAGAGGGAAUAGCAUAUCAAUGGAAUUACAUGGUUGAAAAUCAGUGUAAGCUAAGCUAGAAUAUUAAGAGCUAGCUACUCCUUUUCAUUCCUUCUUUAGUAGUAAAAGAGUGAUUUUUCUUUUCUUUUUGACAGAUGGGAAUGAUGGAAUGAAAAAAGGGAGUUGUUCAAACAGGGGACAAUCAUCAAGACUUGAUGACAAGGGAAAAUCACUAAUCUUAAUGAACUAUUUUCCAACAGUUCCAUUAAAGAUAGAAGCAUGUGUGGACAAUUCUAAGAAUUUAUUGGGCAUGCUUCAAACUUGUCAUGGGGCAGCUGGUAACAGAUGGCCCAAUUUUGUGGCUGUUGAUUUCUACAAGGUUUGUGUUUUUGCUUCACAACUACAAAAAUGCCUCACAAAAUUCAUCAUACCCUAUUGAUUUAUCAUUUUGAUGUUAAGAAAACUCGCAAAAUAUUAAAAUCCAAGUAGAUAUCUCUAUGGACUGAAACAAUGAUCCCUUAACUUAGUCAUUCAUUAAUGUCAUGUCAUGUCUUCAUGUUUACCACUAGAUAACUUACGGAUGGACUCUAAAAAUUUGUUAUAUUUACAAUUUUUAUAGUAUUAUAUAUAUCAUUUUAUUUUAUUUAUGUUGGCAGAGAAGUGAUGGAGGAGGGGCAUUUCAAGCUUUGGAUACUUUGAAUGGGGAGCUCUUGUGUGCUUCACAGGACAUUCAUUCAUGUGUGGGGUAAAGGGUCUAUCAGCAAUAAUUAUUAUAUGUUUGUAGCUUUUCCAAUAUAUUUAAACAUAUAUAUAUAUAUAUAUAUUUGUUACAAAUACAUUUUUAAAAAUAUUUAAUUUUUACCAAAGGUCGUGUUUACCCUGAUUAAAAACGUAAUAUAUCAAUGGGAAUAAAGAAAAUGAGUCUCAUUUGAUUGAUGAAUUGAAGGUGCUCAAUUAGAUCAUUACCGUUUCUGACUAAUAUAUAAUGGUAAUAUUCAAAUUUUAAUAGGUAAAAUUACUAGCAAAUAUACAAAUGAACUUUGAAUUUAGGCUCUUUAUCCUUUUGAUAUUUUUAAUUAUUGCAAUUGAUGAUGAAUGUAUUUGUAAUUAGGCUCACUCUUCCAAUGUUGAAAGCAAAAGUAAAUUAAUAAAAAUUAGAAGAAGAAAAAUAAUCUCUUACUUCAUGUGAAUAAAAACUAAUGGGCUUGGACCAUGUGGGCCAAAGCCCACUAUCACCGAUACUUAUCAAACUAAUAUGGUUAUCAUUGGGCCUUUUGACUUCAUACACCAACACAUUUAAAAAGACAAGAAAAAGGGGGAGAGAGAUGGUGAUUUUUUGAAGAUUUUUUUCCCCUAAGCUCAUAUUCUUAAAAGUAUAAAACUAAACAGAAUCAAUCUUCAUUCCAUCUCAUUUUCUUCCAAUGAACUCUUCAUUAUAUUGUUAAUAAUAUUUUUGUGUUGUGCCUUUCUUUUCGAUAAAAGCUUUAAAAUGAAACAGCUAAAUUAAAUUAAAUAUAAAACAUGGAUUACGAAAGCUUUUAAGGGCAACAAUGAAGUAAACCAAGUGUAAACAAGAGUACAUGAAUCAAGAGAUCUUGACAACAUAAAAACAUAAAAUAAAAAAAAAAUGUAUGUAAAGAUAAAAGCAUGGAUAAUAUUACUAAUCCACAAAGAAAUAUGAAGAUCAUUAGAUAGAUGUUGAAUUAUAAUUUGAAUUUCUCCAUGGAAAGAGCCUCAUUCUUUCUUGAUCUAAUUCAUAAUUUUACACACUACUUUCCAACAAUAAUGAGUAAGAGGACAGAUUAUUGAUGUAAAUGUGAUUGAAUUAACACUAAAAUAAUAACUUUGUAUAAUUAACUAAUAAUAUUCGAGUUGGACACAAAUCUUACUUUAAUAUAUAUAUAUAUAUAUAUAAAAGAAAAGAAAAGAAAAGGCAAUAGUUAUAAUAUGGUUUGGUUUGUGUGUCAAAAGUAGGCUACACUUACGAAUGAAAUUUCAUUAUUUAAAAAUGAAAAUGAAAAAGUUAAAAAAAUAAAUAAAAAAUAAAAUAGAAAUAAUUAAAUGUUGAGUUGGCAAUGGCCACCAAAUUGUCUGAUCUCCAACCCCACGAAUCAAACAUUAAUAAGUUUUCUAUUUUAUAUAUAUAUAUAUAAAUCUUGAACAUAUGGUUGAAUUGAGAUGUAUAUCUUCUUUGAUUCCACCUAAUUUUUAACCCAACAUAAUGUUACCAUCCAAUGGUUUAGGAGAGCUAAUCAAUAGUGAUUGUUGCUGUCCAAACAUGUACAUUCACAUAUUACAUAAGUUGAACAACUAACAAGUAUUUAAGUACGUUGCUUCGUUAAAUUAAUUACGGUAAAAUGUGUAUUUUAAUGGAGGAAGAACAUUUACAAGUUAGCAAGAAUUGAACACCGAUAUGGAGUUAGGUUAAGAAGUUUGGAGAUUCACGGUAUAACAUAAUUGCUAGUGGAGAGAUUUCACUUAUCUUCUCGGUCUACUAAAUACUUCUUUUCUUAGAAUUCUUUUCCUUGGAUCUUUGGAUAUGCUAUAUUUCUUUCUAAACCAAUAUUUUGCAAAAUAUAUAGGUUUGAUUUAGUGGACUUCACCCUUUCUUAAGAUCGAUGACAAUUUAGCUCAAUUUGAUUUGAGUCAAGUUCGAUCAUCUUUUUGUGGCUCAUGGGUGCAUGUAUCUUGCAAAGGAUGCAUGAUAUAGUGAGUUCGACAACCUCAACCUUGACCAAAAUUGUAGUCGUCUUUCUUUAAUUAGGCCUAUUUCAUUUUCUUAGCAUAGUAACUUAUUCAUUUAUAUCAUCAUUUUCUUGGCUUGGUAGCUAUAUUUUCUUCAAUAAUUUGUUUUUGUCCUAAAACCUAAAAUUUAGGCACAGCGUUUCAUAAAUGAUUAUUCCUAUAAGUAAUAUAUCUUACAUUUUUACAAUAAAUUUUAAACUUUUCGAUCUUUCAUUAAAGAAAUAUAUUUUUGUUAAAAAUUUGAAACGAAACUUAAACCUAACAAUUAAAUGCCUAACAUUAAUUUUGAUAAAAUAAAAACUAAACCUAGAAUCUAGAAACAAAAAACAUAUAUCUAUUUUAUUUUAUCAAAUCAAGAGACCCUUGUAAAGCUCAAAAGCUAAAACACAUUUAUGCCAUUAAUAAUUUAGAAUGCUAUAUAUUAAAUUGGGGGAUGGUUUUCAAUUCAACAUUAUUUGUCUUUUAUUUCUUAUUAAUAGUUCCCCUAUUUGAGCUUUAUGAGUUGGUUAUGUUUGCUAAAAUAUAUAGAUUCAAAACUUUGGAAUAGUACAUUUUUUUAUUUUCCAUUGAAGAUCAUCAUCUUUGAUUGGCCAAGAUUAAUUUAAGAUCAAUCAUUGCUAAUGACAAGAUCAAACAGAUAGAUUAUUUAAAAAAAAAAAAAAAAAAAAACCAAUCUACUUAAUUUUAGGAGUUUAGAGAUCUAAUGAAAUUCUUGAAACCCUAAGAAAUAAAAUGGAAGACUAAUUUUGGAUGAAUUCUAAUUGAUUUUAUAUUUUGUACACAUAAAACCAUAAUUAGGGUCAUGGUGAUGUCACACCCAAGUGGAUAAUUAAUCAUUAAAUAAAAUAAUUUAAUACCCAAUUCCAAGAUGAUUAGAAACUCAAGAAGGUAUAAAAACAAACAUUCAGUCAAAAUAUGCAUUGGGUUUUCAACCCAUAGAUUUGAGAAAUUAAUUCUUUAGUAUAUCAAUAUAUACCCUAUAGUUUUUCCUUUUAUAAAAAGAAAUAUAUACAUUUUCCUCUCUCUAAAAUGCAUUUGAAUUAAAAACUACAUAUUAAAUUUAAUAUAAACAUUGGCACAUCCAAAGUGAUCUGAUUAGUGAGAAGCACAUGUGAGAGUAGGUAGGUUUAGAGGUAUCUAACACAUGCUACCAAUCUUAAGAACAAUAAUAUUAAACAAGAAAGAAAUAAUUACACUAACACAUAUUAUAUAUUAAAAUACCAUGUUAAUUUUAAUUCCUAUAAGGUUGUUCGUAUGAAGAUAAUAAUGUUGCAAAAUGCAAAUUUUAAAAUUUAUUAAAAGUACGAAGAUUAAAGUCGUUCAAAGUAGAGUGAUCACCAUAAAUGAGUGUUUAAUCUAAAGUAGUUUAUAAUUGUUAAGAUCUUCAAUAUCACUAAGAACCUACUAAUAAUAUAUAUAUUUUCAAUAGUAACAUGCUUUCAAAGAUAAUGUUGAGGCUGAAGGAGUUUGAAUGGGCUCCAUGUUAUUGGGUGCACCACACAUUGUAAUGUGCUUAAUUAGAUAAUCUUAAUAUAUACUUUAAAAGAUUAUAUUAAAAAGAAAAACGAGAGAGAGAGAGAGGUUAUUAUUUUAUGGUUGACUUAAAUUGGGGUGUGACUUUGUCUUCUUUGAAGUUAACAAAGAUAACAAAGAUUGCUUAAUUAAAGAAUCAUAUGUAUUAUUCACCAAUGAGCUAACCACAAAAGCAUCUAUAUUAUUCUUUUUUUUUUUUGCAAUGAUUUUGUUUUCUUAUUUAUUCACAAUUUUUCCUUUUUAAAAAAAAUAUAUAUAUAUUCAUUGUGUACUUUUUCUUAAUUGAAAUUAUUAGUAUAUUUGUUUUAUUGAUUUUGAGAAGAAAAAAUUAAUUUUAAACUAAGAAUGAGAAAUAAAUUUUAAGUAGGGGUAGAAAGAUUGUGAAUUCAAUUUGGAUGUACUUUCCUUUAUAGAAUAUAAGAUGCAAAGUAUAUGAACUCUACCUAACAAUAAGAAAUGGCCUUUACCUCAUAAUUAAGACAUCUUUUUGGGUAACUAUUUGUUUUUUUUUUUUUUUAAUUAAGAAUUUAAACAAAAUUUUAUGUGUUUCUUUUACUUUGAUAUAUAUUCUCUUUUAUUGAUGUUUUUCUAAAUCCACGUCAAUAUUUCAUACAUAAAGAGUAAAGAAAUUGUUUGAAAACAAACACACCAACUUUCAUAAAAAUAUUUUUUAUUAAAGGCAUACGUUAUUGUUGUUGUUGUAAUUUUGAUUUUAAGAAUCAAAUAUAAACACAUCAAUUUUUUAAAAUGGUGUGAUCAAUAGAUUCUGGAACCAAAGUCAAAGUGGUCAACAAAUAACAAAUAAAGAAAAGAAGAAUGAUGUCGAGAGGAGAAUGGUUAGCAAGGGUCGAGGCCGAGGCCGAAUCCAUCAAGAGAAGAAUCCCCUGAGAAGUCGAACAUAGUUAAUUAUCAUUAAAGAAAAACCCUAAAGUCGUUGGUAUGGUUGUUCGGCUGGUCGACCUUGGCCAAGGGAGAAUCCAUGAAAAAAGUGGCUCGGUUUAUAAACCCUAAUCAGAUAAGAAAUAUCUGGUAGAUGGUUGAAACCUAGGUUUCUAACUUUUUGGCUUACGCCAAAGUAAGUUCUUCAAUCAGCAUCAGAUACUCUCUUCUCUUUCUAACUUUUUGGCUCAAGGAUUAAAUUGGUUGCGACUAACACCACACAUGUCUAGGUUUCUCUAUGCUCAAGCGAACUCUCUACUUCAAACAUACAUAUUUACAAAUCUUUUUUGCUUUGUCAAAAUUUGACAUCAACACAAAACUUGCUAAUUCUCUUUCAUCUAUCAAACAUGAUUAUAUAAUUCAACUAACAUAAUAGAUAUAUAAAAGUUAGAGGUUGAAAUCUUCCUUUGAUGUUGCAUAUAUUGAAUGUUGAACAAAACUAAAAAAAUUUACUUCAAAAAAACCUCUAAUGGUUAAAACUAAGGAAAAAAAAUAAUUCUUAUAAGUUAACUACAUUUGUAAAUAAUUGCUCUUUUCAAAGGGAAGAUGUUACUUAACAAAACUUUUUUUUUUACUUACUUUUUAAUACACUAUUAAUUAAAUCAACCCAAUAACCCUAAACAAGACAUGCAAACAAAUUAAAAUAUCAAUUAUCAAGCACAGGACCUAUAUAGAUGUAUUUUUCUUGAAACUUUUUUUUUUACUGUAUUUCAAAAUUGAAUAAUUAAGAUUUCAAAAACGUAUAAAAAGAAAAUAAAAGGUAAAAUAAAAAAAAUUAAAAAAAUGUAUCAAUAUAUAACAACCCUAAUCAUUAAAGAACACAAUACCACACUCAACAUUAAUAUUCUUUUUAGAAUAAUGUUUGUCAAAUUUGAAACCCACAGAUUUUCAUAAACCAAGAGCUCCCACUUUUAUAUAUAUAUAUAUAUAUAUAUAUAUAUAUAUAUAAUUUAUUUGUUUAUGGUAGAAGGACCUCCUCACUCUUAGUUUGUGUUUAAAUUUAUUUGAGAUAUUCCCAUGCAUGCAUGAUUAUAUAUAAUAUAUAUAUGUGUAUGUAUGUAUGGAUAAUUGAGGACCAUAAAGCAAAAUUCCAGCAUACAUUUACAACCCCAUGUAAAAAAGAUAAAUUAUAUAAUAUAUAUCAAAAACUAUAAUUUAGUUUAGUUUUAUUUUUAUAAAAUAAAAAGAAGUCAACCCCUUCUUCAUUUUGAUUCACAAAAGCAUACAUAAAAAGGAAGAUAUUCAAGUAUAAACUAAGGUUGAUUGGAGGAAGCAAGAUUCUCUAAUAUCCAUAUUAAUUUCUUCAAUUUUUUAAUUUAAGAAAAAAAGAUAAAAUAUUUUUUUCUCAAACAAUAAUUUUCACACGAUUUUGACCCUAACAAUCAUGUUUGGCAUUACUCUUUUUCAUACGUUAUAUCAUCUAACUCUUAAAAACGACACCUUAGACAACAUCUCAAUGGAAAGAAAAUUAUAUAUUAAAAAAAAAAAUUGAUAUCCUGCAUUAUAUAACCCCUGGAUUUUUAGAUGUGAAAAGUAUUAUUGAAUAUAUUUCACACAACAAAAAGAGUUAAUAUUCUACAUCUUUCCGUGAUAUCAAUUGUUGUAAGAUCAGACGAGUUGUCUUACGAAGAAGAGAAUAACGAACAAAGCUAGAUGUCUAAAGAACUUGUUUUGAACGUGUUUUUACGUAAAGGUAUGGAACAUGCAAAGAAAAUUGUAGCAGACUCGUUGAAUAAUUUGUUAAAGGGUUUUGGAAUGAAUGAGAUUGAGAAAAGAGUGCAUGGCUUGAUGAAAGAGGAUAUAUACAAAAGAGAAAAAGGGGAUAUAUAUUGGGGUGCUAUCAAAAUCGUAAGGAGUCGGAGUUAGGGUACACCCACGAGGGAAGUAACAUGCAGAUGGGGAAAGAAAGCAUGAUUUUGCAUUUGUUGUUUGUAUGAGAAAAAGAAUAAGGGAGAGAGAGCCCCACAAAAAUUAAAUUUGAUUUUUUUGUUCUCUUUUUUUUCUUCCUUUUAAUUAAAAAAGGCAAAAUUUUGAUCCUCAUUGAGAGCAAGCAAACACCAGAUCAUCACAUGGGUUUUGGUACUCUCUUUACAACAAUAUAUAUUUAUAUUUAUAUAUGUGUGUGUGUGUGUGUGUGAGGGUUAUACCUAAUGUUGGUUUUUUGAGAAAAAGAAAAAGAAAAAGAAAAUCCAAAGAAAACUAUGGGAAUAUAGAGAGAAAGCAAACAACAGCAAAGACAACCACUUGGGUUGGAGGCAUCAACACAAAUAUGAAAAUGGGGGACCUUUCACACAUGGGGGUGGGAGGCUGCUUCACUUCUUUGUGGAGCCAAAAACCCCCCUUUCAAAACUUUUUUCUCCUUUCAGAGAAUCUUUUUCUUUUUCUUUUAUUUAUUUCUUUCUUUUAAUUUGUAUAAAAGAAAAAUAAAAGUUCAUGGUAAAUGGAAGCACGUAUUGUCGAGAGAAACGAUUUCAACGAUUUAAGUAACUUUGCUCAUUAUAUUAUACAGUUACAUCAUGAGAGUGACACGAAUACCAUAUUAAUGAAAAUUGCAGAGAAUGAGUAGUGGAAAGAAUGGAAAACUAUAUACUGCUCCUGAUCUCCAAAACUUGAGGUUGCAAGAGAGUGUGUACAUACAUCUUUUGAUAGCAAAGAACAUGAGAGAAUAAGAUAACAAUCAAAUCACUACCAAAAUCUUAGUUUCUUUGAUGAAUAUAAAGGUCUCAGAAAUAUCUACAGAAAUAUUGUUUAGUAAACCACUUACUAAUUGUCUGAUUCAACCCAGAGAUUUGCAAGUUAAGAUUUGUGGAAAUGUUUUCCCCCAAGAGAGUUCUCUGUUGGUUUAAGCAUUUUGGUUCGAUUCAAGUACAUGACAUUUAUACAACUUUCUAAAGUUAUAUACUUAUGUCUAUAUGUAUGCGUACAAGGUUUGUGGGCUAGAAGUUAGUUGUGUAUAAAUGAACGGAGGACGAAACAUAUCCAUUGGAUUUAGAUCUCAGGAUUGUGUGAAAGUUUCACAUUAUUUAUAAUACUACAUUUUAUAGAACAUAUAAUAUAUGUAUAUGCGUUGAGACACAAUGAAGUCCCACUUCUUUAUCUUCACUUUGAUAUGAUAUUUAUUCUCAUCAUUCGCUAAAUCCUCGUAAAUUUAUUUUUGUGUCAGGAUCUAAUAAUACUCAUACCAACAAAGGACUUUGUCUUUACUCGAUAUUUUAUCGUACUUUUAUCAUAUGUAACAUUCUCCCACCCAAAAGAAUAUUUCAAAUCUUGUCUUCCCCAUCUCUCUCUCUCUUUUUCCAUGCCAUAAUCUCUAUGUCUAUCUUCGUACAAUUUUAACAUUUUGUUUUCAAACUAAAAUGUUCUUUAAGCUUUUCUAUAUAUUUUUUUUUCGUACUUUGUUUUAAUUACAAUGGUGGUUGCAAUCUAAUAAACCACCAUAACCUUCCAAAGAUGGAAAUUAAAUUUAUGACGUGGAAUUUAACAAACGAAUCGCAAGUAGACACAUCAUCAUCUUUAGUCCCAUAUGUGUGGUGACUAUUUCAUUUGAUUUUUGUUGUUGUUUUGCUAGAAGGAUAUAAUUAGCUCUUUGAAAUUAUUGCUACUAAAGAGGGAGAUGUUGAAGAGUUGAUGAAUAAAAAACAAAUUAUUUGAAGCAUUAAUAAAUACAUAUUAUAUUUUGCAUUAGGUGACUACUAAACAAAUUAAGUCAUCAUUUUCAUGUUGAAAACUAAGCCCUAAUAAUGAACCUAUCCCACUUCAAUUAUGCAUGGGAAGUAUAUAUUUUUGUCCAAAAAAAAAAAGUAUCAAAUUUGAAAAUAUUUAUUUCACUAUAUAUACAUGUAUUUAUAACUGUAUUUUUCGUUUAUAAAAAACGUCAGUAAUAAUAAACUUAAAAUUUCAAUUAAGUCGAUAAAUUACUUACUUCAUUAAAGUUCGACAUGAUAUUUAAAAUACAUUCCAUUAGAUGAAAUAUUAUUGUUAUGUGUCAUUUAUAACUCUAUAUAUACGAAAUAAUAAGAAAUGCACUUGAACAAGGUAUCAUAAUAAGAAAAUAUUUUAAUUAUAGCAAAAUGAACAAAAAAAAAUAAAAAUAUUUACAAAAUAUAACAAAAUAUCAUCGUCUAUCUUUAAUAAACCAACUAUCUAUAUCUAUAUGAUUUACACAAAAUUUAAGUAGUCUAUUUUAAUCUAUCGUGAUCUAUCACAAAAAUAACUAAAGAAAAAGGUUCCUUGGAUAAAUCACUUUUAAAUUUUAGCAGUUUUGAUUGUUAUAUAUUCAAAUCUUUUGAUUGUAAAAAUUGAGCUCUCAAAUUCAUACAAAUGUUAAAAUUAGAUACUCAAUCUUACAUGAUUAUAAAAUUAUACCAAUUGUAUAAAAUUGUAUUUGAAUUGACUUUCCAAGUGUUUAAAUAAGUAUUCAAAAAAAAGUUCAAACUAAUCAUAAACAAAUUGAUAUUAGUGGAUGAAUUUUAUAAUUUGGUUGUCAUUACGAGAUAUAUUUUUUAAAAUAUCAAAAUGAUCUAACUUAUUUAUAAAUAGGGAAGUUUACAAAAACAACAAAAAUCAAUUGUGACAAUAGAGUUCAUAUCACUUACAUUUUUAAAUUAUAAAAAUAGCAAAUUUAAAAGUAAAUUAUCAUCUGAUCAUCGUCAUAUUUGUUAAAUUUACAAUAUAAAGAAAUAUAGGUGUUAUGAGCUGAAAUUUUUUUGUGUGUGUAUGAAAAGAAAAUGGAAAUGGAAGAGAAGAGAGGAUGGAACUUGGAAGGACAAACACACGUGACCUUCAUCUGCCACACUGCCAUUCACAAACAGAGACUAUUUCCCUUAAAAACCAUUUAUAUAAUAUAUAUAUAUAUACACAGAGAAAAUAUGAUUUUCAACCAAAAGUACAUUUGAUAUUUGAAAGUUUCGAAAAUUAUCUUUUUUUAAGAGAAAAUUUACCUUUUCCAUCUUUGAAUUUAAUUUCUUCCAUCCAUAAAUACGUUUGUCAAAAUCAAUAACACUAAAGAUGGGAGUUAAAUUACAAUUAGUUUAAUAUGAGAUUUACGUCUAUUUGGAUGAUGACCUUUAAAAAAAUUUUAAAUAGUCUUUAAACUUUCAAUCUUUGUGUAUUAAUACAAUCUUUCGACGUUAAAAGUAUCUAAAAGUACAUAAAUUUUCAAUUUUAAAUCUAAUACAUCGACAACAUUCAAUUUUAAAAGAAAAUUUUUCAUAAAUAUAACAGCAACACCAAAUAUUUAUUGUCCGUAUAACAAAAUAAAAAAACUCAUAAAUGCACUAGUAAUUUUUUUUUAAAUAAUUCAGGUUUGUCCUUCCUUUCAAUAUUUUUUCUUUUAUUCUUUUUAAGCUGUUAUUUAGUUGAAUAUCGCGUGUCAAAUAUAAAAAGAUCUAUUUUUCUUUUUAUUUUUUUAAAAUUAUUACUUAGCUGUUCAAUAUCAUGUACAAAUAUAAAAUAUCUUUAAAAAACUCGUUGAUAUAUUGGUAUACGAUCAUUCGUGUAAAAAAAACACAUGCGAGUGCCAAAUUAGAUGUUUGUUGACAAAUACAUUUGUUAUAUUUUUCACCGUGAGCUAGAAGUUCUUUUUCAUUAUCAAAAUUGUUAUAUUGUUAUAUUUUUAAAAAUACCCCUUACAAAAUUUAGCCUAUCGACUAUAUAUAUAUAUAUAAUUUUAGUUUAUGUUUUAUUGACUCUAAAUUAGUUUUAAUUUCAUGCAUAGUGACUCCUAUAUUUUAUUUUAUUAUAUAUAUAUAUAUAUAUAUCAAAUUUCUUAGUUUGAAAUUAAUAAAAUUAGUUAGGUUGACUCAAAACAACACAAAUUAUCAUAGUGUCUUAUUAAAGUUGAAUUUAAUAAAAUACCUUAUUUCACCACACACUUGUUGCUUUGCUACAUUCUUAAUCCUAAACAAGUCUCAUCUCAUAAAUGCUUUGCCUUUGUGCAUGGUUACCUAAAUGAGGAUGUUUUUAUGUCACACCCUCUUCAAUUUAAUAACACUUGUCCCCAUUUUUAUGUUUCAUUAUUCAAUUUUAUAACAUGUCAAUCAGCUUCUUUCACUUUGGUUUAGCUCAUUUUUUCCCUAUCAUUUACUAACCUUCAAUUUCAUUCACAUCCAUGUUAAAUAAUUAUUCAAUGUCAAACAAUUCUUCCAUUUUACAAAUUUCAAUUGUGUUCACUAUUCAUUUUUACACACUUAUCGAAAAAUUAAACCCAUUUAUAACAAUGCAUGCAUCCAAAUCUAAAUUUACUAACUUAAUCAGAUGGUUGUUUCAUCCUAUUAAAUUAAAGGGGUGUAUUUAUUUAUGUAGUUGAAUUAUUAUGAUAAAUAAAUGUAAAGUUGGAAUCUAUCUGGCGUUAGAUGUUCAUUUGGUAAUUACAUUAUAAGCCAACUAGGAAUGUCUAUGUUUACCAAUCUAAUAAUAUUCAAUUUUAUAAUUCUAGGGAAAAUUUUGGUAAUUUGAUUUUAGGUUUGGCUUUAUUUGGUAUCUUAGGGUUUCAUAAGGUUAUACUUUUAGGCUUUGUGGGAAACAAAUUUUGUUUUUCUAUUUUUAGUUAUUAAACUUAUAUAUUGGAUUUAAUUUAAUCUUCAAAUUUUUUUAAAAAAACUUCACUUUUGUCCUUCAAAUUUAAAUCUGUGAACAUUUAAAUUACUUUUUAACUUUACCCUAACUUUCACUUUAUUGAUUUCUAUUAAUUAAAUAAUAUCCAUAAUUAUUUUGAAUUAAUAGAUAUUGUAGCGCUAGUUACCUACUUUUUUACAUUUCUUGCAACUUAGCUACGUCGUUCUUAUUUGUCUUGAAUAGGGAUGGACAAUGAUAGUCGAAAAACUAAACUGAACGACUAAAAAUCAAAUGUUAGAAUUGGAUCGGACCGUCCUAAACCAAUAGAAUAUUAAAGAAAUAGAAAAAAAGAGUUGAAUUAAACCGACCACCUUAAACUAAACUCGAUCGACCUAUACGUGUUUAACAUUGAUUUUUGAAUUUUCUAUCUCGAUAAGGUUGGUUUUGAUGCUCGUUUUUUAGUGGAACUUGAAGUAGAAAAGUUGUUUCCAUAGGAAAUAAGGGUGAAUUCGUCUAUUUAUAUAUAUAAAACAAUAGUAAAAAAGAAAGGGUAAGAAAGUAACUAUAAAGAAAAAGUGUAAAAAGGAGAGAGAGAUAGAGAGAGAGAAUGAAUGAAUGAAUGAAUAAGACAUGCGCACGUGGAGAGAGGAGGCACACGUGCACAAUGAUGAGUCAUUGAUACAAAGUGUGAUAAGAUGAUAAGGACUUCUCUUUCUAUUUCCCAAUAAAACAACAAACCCUCUUUUCUCACACCUUUUCCUUUUUACCCUUCUUCUCUUCUCCUCUUUUCUAUUUAUUCAUUUCAUUAAUGGGUCCUCCAAUAUCACAAUCUUUAAUUCUUCUAUCUUUCAAUUCUCUCCAACUUCAUCAAUCAUCCAAUUAUAUAUCAUUAAUUUAUUUUCACACUUAUCCUUUUAGCCAAAAGGUUCAUCCAUAAGGGAAAAAAUAUCAAGAGUUAGAUUCGUAAAAAAAAACAUCCAAGAAAGAUGAAGUAUGUUAUUAUAAGUUCAUAAUCAUUCUUCAAUCCAUUUUAAUUUUAUGUGGAAUAAGUUUGUCAAUUUUAGGAAACUUAAAUAAUUUGUUAGAUCAAAAUUGGACCUAUCAAAUACUUUUCAAUUUCAUAAACUUAUUAUAGCAAAUAGUUGGGAGCACCUCUAUUUCUAUUUCCCAAUAAACUACAAACCCUCUUUAUCUGAUGCCUUUUUCUUUUUACCCUUCAUUUUCUUUUAUUUAUUUAAUAAAAAUUUAAAAAACAUUAAUUAAUUAUGGGUCCCUAUAAUACCACACUCAUAUUUCUCUCUCCCCAAUUUUUUUUUACUUUUCAAAUAUUUUAAACUUGUUGUAAUUUGGAAAAAAAAAGAUUGAUUGUUUGACAUAAAGAUAUGUAGAAUUGAUAUACUUAAAAUGUAAACUAUUUUAGUUUGAAGAUAAAGUUAAAAAUUGUAGUCAAUAGUAAAAAUAUAUUAUAUAUUUAAAUUACAUAAACACAAAAUUAGAAAUUUUGAAGAUGAAGUUAUAAAAUACUUUUACACUUCAUGAACUUAUAAAAAGCAAACUUAGAAGGAUUUUGAAACUAAAUAAAUCAAUAAUAAUAAUAAAUACACAGUUGGUGCUUUAAUCAAUGAAUAUGUUCAAAUUGACAAACUAUAUGAGUUAUUAUUUUCUUAGGAUCAAAAGUUUAAUUUCUAUUAAAAUAAAUAAUUUAUAAAUUUAUAAAUAAAUGCUUUAAUCAAUUAAAUGCUUUAUUUCUUAACCUAAGCUAUAGAUUUUAGAGUUAAACAUAUAAUUGUAGUUAUAGUAAAAUAUUAUUAGGAUUGCAAAAGUGAUUAAAGUGGUGUAUUAUUGGUCUAAUGGAUCUAAGUUUAGGUAUCAUAUCAUAUGAUUGAAUUAAUAUUUGAAAUUCACGGAUAUCAAGGAAUAAAUAUAAUGCUAAUUAUAUAGUCUUCAUUUUUUUUCUAAAUCUUGACUUUACUUUUGUCCUUUUUAAUUAUACUUUUAUUAGUGACUUUAAGCCUUAGAUUUUAUUCUAUAAACAAAUUUAAAACCAUUCACUAUUCUCACUCUUAACCUUUUCAACAGCUCGUUUUACGGCUUAAUUUGACAAAGUAAUUGAAAGUGGGUUUGAAUUGUUUUAUAAAGUAUUUAAAUUUGGAUGAAAAAUCAUUUUUAAAAAAAUAUUGAGCUUUUAAUAACUUAAAAAAUGAGACUAAAACAUAAUAUUUUUUAAAGAAAACACUCGAAACCAAAUUUUGAAAAAAUAGGUUUUUGUACGAAAUUAUGUAUAUACACACUUAUAAAAAGAAAUAUGUAAAUGUUUAGAUUUUAAACUCCAUUUAAAUAAAGUGUUUAAAAUAAAAUAUAUUUUUCUCUAUAGAUAAUCCAAAUGCAAUCAAGUUUUUAAAAUUAAACUCUAUUACUCAAACUUAUUAUUCUUGCACAUAAAUAGUAGAAAACAAAUAUCGUAAAAUGUCAAAAUAGCACGGAUAGAUUUUAUUACACAUGAUAUAUUUAGGUUCAAUUGUGAUAACAACGAAGAUACACUAUCUAAUUUCGCUUAACUCGGAAUUGUUCUUGAUUUUGCGUUUUUAUUUGACUAUUUUGUAGGUUAUGAAUAAAUCAAGAAUGGAGUAGACGGUUGAUGACAAACUGGAGCUAAAAUAUGUGAAAAUUAAAUUAAGUCCAAAUGCAUCAAUCGAAAUCAAGAGAGCAAGAAGAAGUCUAUUUUUGGCCUCUAACUUGCAUAAAACAUUGUGAAGUAGAAACCUUUCAAUACUGAUAUAUAUUUGAUACACUAAAAAGUAUCAUAUCAACAAAGUAAAACAAGCGUGUCACACACUUCAAAUAUUUUAUUCUGAAUUUGUAAGAAACAACUUUCCCAUUUUUCUAUAUUUUAAAUAUCAUCUUUUUAAACUUUUUAACUCGUGAUAGCUAUUGUAAUAUUUAUCAACGAUUUAAUUUCUACUAAUUUACUGGCAUUAAUUCUAUAAAUAAUAAUAUAGAUUUCAUUAAUUUAAUAAGAAGAGAAAUUGCAUUAAGUAACCAAAGGUUAUAUAUCGUAAAAACUAAGACACACGUUAAUGUUUAAGAUAAUUGGAUAGAAUUUAAUGUGAAAUUUAACCAAAACAAAGCCUCAAAAUUGAACUCGUGAAAUUGUGAAAACUCAAACAAAACAUACACCAAAUCAAAUAUUCUUAUGGUUUAAUUAUAAUUUAGAUAUUAAAAAUCGAAGAAAAUCCUUUUUUACUCACAAAACUGCUUUAAAAUAUUUACCAAUAUUAGGAAGUUUUAGAAUUUAUCAGUUCAUCAUCUGAAAUCUUAGUAUAUUUUAUAAUUAUAAUUAUCAUCCACUUGCUAUAUUUGAAGAAAAAAAAAAACUAUUUAUUCAAUCAAAGUUCAACUUAGUCUAUUUGAUCAAAUAUAUGUAUUUUAUCAUAAAAAUUGAGAGUAUAUAAAGUAAGUUGUUACAAACUAAUUAAAUUUAUCUUAUUAUUUGAAUAAUAAAAUAAAAAUAUUUUUUAGAUAAAUUAGUGAAUUAACAUAAAAAUUCACAGCGAUCGAAACUCUUAUAUAUAUAUAUAUAUAUAUAUAUAUAUAUAUAUAUGAGUGUAACUUAAACUAGUUUGAAAAAGAAAAAGAAGAAAGAUUUAUUAUUGUAAUAUUAGAUGAAAUAAAAUUAAAGAUGGAGAAGUUGAUAGUAAAAUGAGAAUAGAAACAAAAAGAAUAAGACAAGAAAUAGUAGAAUUACUAUUGAGAAGUACUGUUAUGGAUAGAAGGGAGCUAUAGCAAAAAUAGAAACACUUGAAUUUUAACCACUUGUUUUUGUGACAAAAUGUUGGAUAAUACCAAAUAAUAAUUAUUGAAUAAAUAAUGAAGUUUUGCAAUCAAUUUAUUUUAUUGUUAGAUGAAGCCAACGAGAAUGGUCUCCAUGCCAUCCUACAAAAAUAUAAACUUUAAAACUAAGUUACGUUUAUUUAUAACAAUAAUCAUAGUUAAUAAUAAUUUGAAUAUGAAUUAUAGUUAUAAUAUGGUAAAAGUUGAGACUCAAAGAUUGGUAGCAUAAGAAGAGGUUGGAAGUAAAAGGUUCCCAAAAUGAAGAGAAAUAUGAAACUCUUACAAAAGAAUCUUUUUAGCUUGAAUACGAAAUUGACCAAACAUAGCAUCGGAAGAAUACAUGUUAAGAAAAUUAAAAAAAGAAAAAAAAGAAAAGAAAAGUAGAAGGAUAGAGUUGGAAUUGGAAAAGUGAUAGAGGAAACCAAAUAUACGUAGUAGAGUUAGUAGUGAAUAGAAAGUAAAAGUGAAAGCAAAAAUGGGAAAAGGGUAAAAAUGAAUAAUAAUGGAAAAGAGAGAGCGUGGGGUAUGAAAAAAGAGGGGAAAUUGACAAAAAUAGGCCAAAAAUGGGGUAUAAAUAGAGUUUUAGGAUUGAUUGUAGAAAAGUUGAGAUUUAGGAUAAAUUGGAGGUGAAAUGACGAAAAUACCCUCUUUUAAUUUUAAUUCACAUUUGCUCUUCUCUUCUUUUCACAACCCCUUCUCCUCUCUUCCUCUUCUCUAAUGUCAUUCACCUGAAGAAAAAAAACAGAAUUGCGAACGCAGCCUUCUUCUCCUCUCCUCAUAGAUUACGUAAAGGGAAAAAAAAAGAAGAAUCCUUCUCUUGCAGUCUCAUAGAUUACGUAAAGAAAAAAGAAGCAUUUCUCCUCCUUCUCAUAGAUUAUGUAAAGGAAAAAGAAAAAAGAAAAACUCAUUUGCGAUUCUUCUCCUCUCUCAAAAGUUUGUCAACUUUCCGCUUUACUCCGGUGUCGUUCAUCAUCUACUCCGGCGAACAUCUCACGCAUUGUGGUUUGUUUUAAUUUUUAAAUCCGAAUCUGAAUUGUGUUGUGUUAUAUGUAUAUAUAUUUUUGCAUCUUAAAUGUAUAAAUCAAAUAUUAUUUUUUAUUGUUUCAAGUUGAUUUAGGGUUGAUUUAAGGUUGCUUUAUAGAUGUUUCAAAUGAUGUUAGCAAUUUAUCAUUAUUAUUAUUUUAUCUCGCAAACAUCUGGUAGACAUCUCGCAAACAUCUCGCAGACAUCUUGCAGGUUCUUAAAUUGAAAUGUUUAAUCUGAAAUGAAUUGAUUUAGGGUGACUUUUAGCUAUUGUUUUUUGUAUCUCGCAAUAUCCUAAACAUUUUGUAGCUGUCAAGAUCGUAAACAUGUAGGGUGUGACUAUGCACGUUUUAUUUAGUAUUUACCUACUGUUUUUUAAUAAACUUUGUUUAUGUGAUAUGUCAAAUGCUAACUUCAAAUCAUUUUUUGCAGCAAUUGAAAAGUAUAAGGUGGUUUAAGGAUGUCACAUAUUCCCAUGUUAGUGCGUUACGGUGGUAUGUGGGAUGAGAGGCGAAGAAAAUACGAAGGAGGCAUGUUAAAAGGCAUCGUUGUCAGUAAAGAAAUAACACAUAAAGAUUUACAGGCAGAAUUAUAUGACCUUGCAGAAGUUGACCCUUCAAAGUUCGACGUAAUGAUAAGAUGCAUAUAUGAGAUAAAAGUGGAACACGAAGCUCCUACAUUUGAGUUAAGCAAUGACCGUGAUUUGAAGUUUUAUCUUCUUAGUGAAAAUCCAUUAAAGGUCCCUUUAUACGUCUCAUUUGAGCCUAAAAGUAAUCAAAGCAAAAAAGUGUUAAGCAAAGAUUACAAUUCAGUAUCUGGCAGCAACCAAGCUCAUAACUUAAACCCUCAUCCUCCAAUUGUAAUGGAUACAUUAAAUGAGAAUGAAGUCCAUGUUCGUGAAGUUGAAGUUGGCUUGUGUGAUAACGUGAUAGGGACCACUUCGGCUAUAUGGGAAUCAUAUGAGUCAUAUGAUUCGAAAGAUGAGACUUUUACAUGGGAGCCAGUAGAGAUGAAUAGUGAAUCAUUUGACAUCCCACAACAUAGAGAUGGUCCUACAAAAGAUUGCAAAGGAAAAUCUAAAGUUCGUUACAGCUCUUCUAGCCAAAAGUUGAAGACAGACAUGAAUGAUUGGUCCGAAGAAAGCUCUACAAGUGAGGAGUUUGAUGUAGGACAAAUAUUUUUUUCCAAAAAAGAUUUGUCAAUGAGAUUAAGUGUCUUGGCAAUGAAAAAAAAUUUUCAGUUUGUAGUAAAAAAGUCUACAAAAGAGGUUCUCUUUGUUAGAUGCAUUGACAACAAGUGUGGUUGGAGACUGCGAGCGAUGAGAUUGAAGGAUUCAAAUAUAUUUAAGAUUAAAAAGUAUGUCAAAGUUCAUUCGUGUUCUCUUGACGUUUUGAAUCGUGACCAUAGGCAAGCAAAAUCUUGGGUUGUUGGAGAAUUAAUAAAGUCAAAGUUCAAGGGAGUCGGUCGUCUAUACAAACCGCGUGAUAUCAUAGAAGACAUGAGGCAAGACUAUGGCAUAAAUAUGAGUUAUGAAAAAGCAUGGCGCGCUAGAGAAAAUGCGUAUGAACGAGUGCGCGGGUGUCCUGAAGAGUCAUAUAAUCUAUUGCUUAGAUAUGGUGAAGCUCUCAAACUUGCAAAUGUAGGUACAAUAUUUCACAUGGAACUUGAAGAUAAUCGUUUCUUCAAAUAUCUUUUUAUGGCUGUUGGUCCAUGUGUUCGAGGAUUCUUAAACUGCAUUAGACCGGUUAUAGUCAUGGAUGGAACAUUCCUUAAGAACAAAUAUCGGGGUCAGUUGAUAGUUGCUGUUUGCUUGGAUGGUAACAAUCAAAUUUAUCCUCUUGCCUUUGGAGUGGUGGACAGAGAAACAGAUGCUUCAAUACAGUGGUUCUUAGAGAAAUUGAAAGGUGCAAUAGGAGAGGUGCCUAAUCUAGGCUUCGUGACAGAUCGAAAAACAUGUUUUUCUAAGUGUAUUGCAUCGGUUUUUCCCUCCGCAUUCCAUGGACUUUGUGUCCAACACUUGACUCAAAAUUUGAAUGAUAAAUACAAGAAUGACACUAUAGCUACUUUGUUUUACAAUGCAUCUAGAACAUACCGUGAAUCAACGUUCUCAGAAGCGUGGAGAAGUAUUCUUGCAUUUCCUAAUGAUUCAGGAAAAUAUUUAAACGAUGUUGGAAUAACACGUUGGUCUCGUUUUCACUGUCCAGGAAGACGAUAUAAUAUGAUGACAACAAAUAUAGCAGAGUCCAUGAAUUCUAUACUGAAAGAACCUAGAGAUUUGCCUAUUGCUUCAUUCCUUGAACAUGUUCGAGCUUUGCUACAACGUUGGUUUUGGGAGCGUCGAGAAGAAGGCAUUAAAGUGACGUCUACAUUGACUAAAUGGGCAGAGUUAGUUCUACAAAAGAAACAAGAACGAGCUUUGACAAUGAAAGUCAACCCAAUUGAUUGUUACCAAUUCCAUGUUAAAGAUUUAGAUAAAGAGGAGGUCAUAAAUCUUCAUACUCAAGAGUGCACUUGUAAGGAGUUUCAAGCUGAGCAACUACCAUGCGCACAUGCCAUUGCUGUUGCACGGGAUCGCAAUAUAAAUGUUUAUAGCUUAUGUGCUAACUAUUACACUAAUGAAUGUUUGUUGGCAGCAUAUUCGGAGGCCGUCUACCCAGUUGGGAAUCAGUCGGAAUGGAAGACAACCGAAGAAUAUGUACAUAUGACUGUCUUACCUCCGAAAGUAGUCAAAAGAGUUGGUCGACCGAAGAAAAAGAGGAUUCCAAGUGUCGGUGAAGCACCAAAAUUGCAUAAAUGUGGUCGAUGUAAAGAAACAGGCCACAAUAGAUUAACGUGUACCAAUCCAAUUUCAUACAUCCAGAAGUCGAGCAUACAAGAUUAGUACCCGUCUUGGUACGUAGUAAUAGUUUUAUACUUGCUUGGUUUGUGCUUGCGUUGUUUGCAUGAUCACGAUGUAAAAAAGGUUCAUUUUUUUAAUGCAGGUGGAAGAUGCUUAUAAAAUUGUGUCCUGUGUUGUUUGCAAGAUCACUAAAGUCAUCUCACUGACAAUUCUAAGUUGAAGACUUUUCUUCUGCAACUUCAAGACUUUCCUUCUCUUUUUUUUUUAUCCUACAGUGAACUGUUUAUAGAAUAUUUACUCCUUUGGCAUUUCAAGCUUUUUGAGAAAGACUUGAAAUCCUAUUAUGACAAUAUUGUGUGCUUUAGAACUCAAUAAAUGCUCUCCUUUUGCUACUGCAGUAUUAAUGAUGCAAAUCUUGCUGAUUACUUUUAGUUUUUACAUUCAUCUUCAAGGUUCAGCCUCUGUUAGUUUUUACAAGGUUCAGCCCUUGCUGAUUACUUAAAGGUUCAGCCCUUGCUGCAUUUGAAGCCUCUUGCUGAUUACUUAAAGUGUGCAGUAGUAAUAAAUGCAAAGCUUUUGCUACUUUUAGUUUUUACAAGGUUCAGCCUCUUCAAGCAUAUGAACCACCAUUUGCAUGAAGGGCCUUGUAGAUGGAAUCUUAGUCGUGCAGCGAAGUGCGAUCCUUACCACUUUGACUGCGUUCUCCACUUUGAUAUGCUGGGAUCUACCAUCUCUUUCAGAUUACCUUUUAGAUAUCUCAUUCUGCUUUCCUGUUGUUUUCCUGGCAGUUGUCUUAGAAAAUGGGCUUCUUUUAUGUUGGUACUUCCAUUAGAACAACUCCAAAGCUGCAAAGAAUAAUGUUUGAACAAUCCAUGAGAAGUAAAUAAUAUUGUGUGCUUUAGAACUCAAUAACUGCUCUCCUUUUGCUACUGCAGUAGUAAUGAUUCAAAUCUUCAAGCAUAUGAACCACCUCUUCAAGCAUAGUAAUCUCAAGCAUAGUAAUCUCAAUGCAGUAGUAAUGAGUUGACUCUGAAAGUUCAGGUAGUAGCAAGACUGAGCUAAUUUUAAGUAAUGUAUAAAGCCGGCUGGUUAACAGCAAAGGUACAGAACAAGACACAGAUCAAAAUGCUGCUAUUGGUAAUGAGGAUCAAUUGUUCGUACAUAAGAUGUUUUUAUAAUGAAAACCUGCUACGUGAGGCUAUAUAUAAAUCAGUUCCGCAGCCACCAUAAACCUCUGCUCCACCACCGGUAACACAUCAAGAAUGUCUAUAUAAAAGUUCUGCACACUUUACAAUUUUUCACCUGCAUUGUUGUACAUUAUAUAAAAGUUCUGCACACUUUACAAUUUUCCAAGAUAAUGAAAUAAAAAUUGCAUACCAAAAAACAAAAAUGGUCUUCAUUCCAUUAUAUAAAACUAUUUAUGUACAUAGUUUGGAACAUAUACAAUUCCUUCGAAAGUUGAAACUGAAAGUCAAUACAUGGGAUUGUUGGUCCAUAAUUGAAAUGCCAAUUGUUUUCUAAAAUAUGACAUGUUUUCUUGACAUAAUGUAGCUACAUCUAAACCAGAAGCUUCAUAUUCGAAAUACUUAAUUGUAAAUACACCACAAUCACUAUUGUUGCGUUGAAGUGGAAUGGAGUCGACAAUGACAAGUGGCCAAGGUUCCUUGUGUGUUGAUGAUCCGCCUCUCCUAACAAAGAAUCCAGUAGCAUCGAGCAAAUUUGGCACCAUCUCUUGAAUUGGCUCUAAUAUGCUUCUCAUAUCUUCGGCACUCGUCAGCGACGGAAGCGAAUCCCAUACCUUAACUUGACAACGUACCAAGUCCAAGCAUAAUAGAAUCCAAUGAUUGCCAUGGAUAUUGAAUGGAGAGUAAAUGUAAUCAACAUUCACCCAAGGAUCUUGACAGUCUUGUUUUGAUCCGACAACAUAGUCAACCAACCGAUACUCCUCCUUCCAGUGAAAUGGUCGAUUCUCUUUAAUACAUUCUUGGUAUUCAGGCCACUUCGCAACUAAUAGUCGCUGGAAGGAAAAAAAACACACAUGCAUGUAUACAAUGAGACAAUAAGACAAAUAUCAAAAGCAAACUCAGUACAUAAAGUAUGGUUGCGAGUACAAACCAUGAAUAGUGUGUCUACAGUUGUGAAGUUUUGAGCAGUAGGUAUCAUGGCUGUCUUAAUGUUGAAGCGAAUGAGAAGAAACAGUGCAUCCAAAUGCUAAUAGAAACAAAAUAAAGCAUUUAAUUCGGUUAUGCGAUCAAACCAACUUCUUGAAGGUACUAAGUGCUCUAAAACUGUAAAUAAGAAAUAAUGAGAAAAGUUCUAACCUCAUCCGCCAACCACCGACGACACAUGAACAAGUCUCUGAAAAACUCCUUCGAUUUUUUCCCGUGAAAAGUUUCACGCACCUCAUCUUUCGUACGCUUGUCUGUGAUCCAAGCUCUGAGUCGAUCUAAAUGGGCGUCAGGUAUUUUGUGCAUAGGAUCAUAGACGGAUGGUUGAGACUGAGAGGUGGUGGUGAUUGAUUUUGUAGUCCGUUUAUCUAAAGCUGUGAAGGGGGUUGACAAGUAUACACUUGCACGCUUGCUACGUGCGGGCCGAACAUGUGGUCGUUCAGUGGAUAAUGGUUCUAUUUCCAUGACGUCUGAAUCAAAAUAAGUAAGACUUUUUACUCCAAUUUCCUCGUUCAAAUCGUCAACGACGUCUACUGGCUCCUCCGAAUGAAUAUGAACCUUCUUAUCCAACUCAUCCAUUGUGUCAUCCUCCGUGCGGUUUGCUUCGACACCCUAUGGAAGGUCAAAAUGCAUUACUAAGGAUAAAGCAUUAGUAAGGAUGAUUUUCACCCCACUACAGAACUUUGAUUCCUAACCUGCUUUUGACGUUCAACAUGUUUCACCCAUCACUUGUGUCAUCCUCCUUGGGCAUCCUCAACCAAGAAGGUGUACCGGGUGUGUCAACAUCUUCGGUCUGGGCAUCAUGACCUUCAACUCCCGUGCAGUCUCCUUCUUCACCCUUUGGAAAUGUCAAAAUGUAUUGGUAACGUUAAACAAACUUUGAAAAUGUUAAACAAACUUUGAUUCCUAACCUUUUUUUGAACUUCAAGGUGUUUCAAUAUAGUCGACAGCAUUGAUUUUAGGCUUUCACGUUCAUUCUCGAGAACCGCUACUCGAUAUUUGAGUUUUCGAACAACUUCUUUCAUCUUAGACUUCCACUUCUUCUUUUUCUUACUCUUUUUGCAGUCAUUGUCAUCAUUACUAGCUUCUCCUGGUCGUUUUGAAUCACCAUUCUUCUCAGAAACGGUGUUAUAUGGAUGAGUUUUCUCAACAAGUUCCCCUGAAGACAUUCUUAGAUGCUCCUCCUCUUCAGGCAUCAUCUCAAUUACCACGUUAAUUAAGAACUACAAAGUGGAAAUGUAGUUAGUUAGUCAAAACAUAAAGGAACAAAGUCAUGCAUUCGGUAAGUUACUGUUUGUUGAUACUUACCAUUGGUGAGUCAAACACCUGCCUCUGUAGGACAUGAGACUUCGGCGAUAGUUCGCACACCCACCUCAGCAUUCGUGGUAUUGCAUCGUUGCUUACUUUAUGUACACCACAUUCAGUGAUGGUUGGUAUAGACUCAUAUGCCCAAACCUAUUCCAUGUUCAACAAAACAAGUUUAGCAAGUGUCCCAAGAUAUAUGUAUAUAUAAAUAUGUGCAUAGGAAGUAAAGUAACAUACCUGUAACGCCUGCGGAAAUCCCAUGACAGUAUAUUUUGUCUUAGUUGAUUUAUUCUUUCCCUUGGCAUGUUGCAUGUCCAAGGCUCGUUUUAAGGCAGAAAGUGUACGUCCAAAAACCAACCCUCCCCAAUCGUAAUUGUUAAAUGUGGUCCAAUCAUCUGCAAUCCUAAAUAAAGUUCGGUCCACUUUCGUCCGCCUAUCUUUUCCUAACAAUGACAUCUCUAUAAAGUAAACUAGAGCUAAUUUAACUAUGUCAUCGUCAUCGUCAUCCCCCUCGUAUUCCACAAAUGUGUCCUCUAAGUCACUUAUAUAAAUACACUUUUUUUGUUCGAAGAACUUCUCCAACAACCUACUAUUCCCAACCAAAUCAAUAGGCUCUGGUUGAGAACUCCAUAGACCCGUCAUCAUAUUAAAUUCUCUCCUUCCAAAACUGCACACGACUUCUCCUAUCUUGAAACUUAUGUGAUCAACCCUUUCAUCUUCCACCUCUCUUAACAAUAAGUAGUGGAUGAGCGGCCCAUUAAAGAUUAUAUUCAGAUCCAAAAAGUGGCCGAACUUUGUAUUUCUAAAUAAGGUUAAUUGAUCCGGUUUCAAUUUAGCCUUUAUUGUACGUGUACUGUUUUCUAAAUGUGCUAAACUACUUACUAUAGACUGAAAAUGAUGAGCAGGGUCAAUCUUGUACAUGGGACCGUUAGUUGAUGUCGAAGCCAUACUGAGACCUGCAUAAAAAAAAAAACUAAUUAAAUAUAAUUGCAUAAGAGACUUACUUAACAUGGAUGCACUAGCAUCUUGGGACUUCUACUCAAAAUUUUGGAAGGUGAGAGAUAGGUGCUGAUAGGUGAGAGAUGAUGAAAAACUUCAAGGCAAAGUUGCUAAGUCUAAUAGAAUUGCUAACCCUAUAGCCUUAACACCUAGUAGACUAGCUAAACAUGCAUUCUAAACCGUUUAGGAAGUUUACACUCUUAUAUUGGGACUUCUACUCAAAAUUUUGGAAGGUGAGAGAUAGGUGCUGAUAGGUGAGAGAUGAUGGAAAACUUCAAGGCAAAGUUGCUAAGUCUAAUACAAUUGCUAACCCUAUAGCCUUAACACCUAGUAGACUAGCUAAACAUGCAUUCUAAACCGUUUAGGAAGUUUACACUCUUAUAUUGGGACUUCUACUCAAAAUUUUGGAAGGUGAGAGAUAGGUGCUGAUAGGUGAGAGAUGAUGGAAAACUUCAAGGCAAAGUUGCUAAGUCUAAUACAAUUGCUAACCCUAUAGCCUUAACACCUAGAAGACUAGCUAAACAUGCAUUCUAAACGGUUUAGGAAGUUAACACUCUUAUAUUGGGACUUCUACUCAAAAUUUUGGAAGGUGAGAGAUAGGUGCUGAUAGGUGAGAGAUGAUGGAAAACUUCAAGGCAAAGUUGCUAAGUCUAAUACAAUUGCUAACCCUAUAGCCUUAACACCUAGUAGACUAGCUAAACAUGCAUUCUAAACCGUUUAGGAAGUUUACACUCUUAUAUUGGGACUUCUACUCAAAAUUUUGGAAGGUGAGAGAUAGGUGCUGAUAGGUGAGAGAUGAUGGAAAACUUCAAGGCAAAGUUGCUAAGUCUAAUACAAUUGCUAACCCUAUAGCCUUAACACCUAGUAGACUAGCUAAACAUGCAUUCUAAACCGUUUAGGAAGUUUACACUCUUAUAUUGGGACUUCUACUCAAAAUUUUGGAAGGUGAGAGAUAGGUGCUGAUAGGUGAGAGAUGAUGGAAAACUUCAAGGCAAAGUUGCUAAGUCUAAUACAAUUGCUAACCCUAUAGCCUUAACACCUAGAAGACUAGCUAAACAUGCAUUCUAAACGGUUUAGGAAGUUAACACUCUUAUAUUGGGACUUCUACUCAAAAUUUUGGAAGGUGAGAGAUAGGUGCUGAUAGGUGAGAGAUGAUGGAAAACUUCAAGGCAAAGUUGCUAAGUCUAAUACAAUUGCUAACCCUAUAGCCUUAACACCUAGUAGACUAGCUAAACAUGCAUUCUAAACCGUUUAGGAAGUUUACACUCUUAUAUUGGGACUUCUACUCAAAAUUUUGGAAGGUGAGAGAUAGGUGCUGAUAGGUGAGAGAUGAUGGAAAACUUCAAGGCAAAGUUGCUAAGUCUAAUACAAUUGCUAACCCUAUAGCCUUAACACCUAGUAGACUAGCUAAACAUGCAUUCUAAACCGUUUAGGAAGUUUACACUCUUAUAUUGGGACUUCUACUCAAAAUUUUGGAAGGUGAGAGAUAGGUGCUGAUAGGUGAGAGAUGAUGGAAAACUUCAAGGCAAAGUUGCUAAGUCUAAUACAAUUGCUAACCCUAUAGCCUUAACACCUAGUAGACUAGCUAAACAUGCAUUCUAAACGGUUUAGGAAGUUAACACUCUUAUAUUGGGACUUCUACUCAAAAUUUUGGAAGGUGAGAGAUAGGUGCUGAUAGGUGAGAGAUGAUGGAAAACUUCAAGGCAAAGUUGCUAAGUCUAAUACAAUUGCUAACCCUAUAGCCUUAACACCUAGUAGACUAGCUAAACAUGCAUUCUAAACCGUUUAGGAAGUUUACACUCUUAUAUUGGGACUUCUACUCAAAAUUUUGGAAGGUGAGAGAUAGGUGCUGAUAGGUGAGAGAUGAUGGAAAACUUCAAGGCAAAGUUGCUAAGUCUAAUACAAUUGCUAACCCUAUAGCCUUAACACCUAGUAGACUAGCUAAACAUGCAUUCUAAACGGUUUAGGAAGUUAACACUCUUAUAUUGGGACUUCUACUCAAAAUUUUGGAAGGUGAGAGAUAGGUGCUGAUAGGUGAGAGAUGAUGGAAAACUUCAAGGCAAAGGAAAUGGUCUUUCAACAAUGCAGCUUAUGAUAAUGUCUUUAGAAUACAAUAUUUAGAAUGCAUGUUUAGCACAUAUCUAUUGUACUGGUAACUUUGCAGAGUUUAUAUGGGAUACCAAAUAUAUGUUCGAAUUCAAGUUCUAAACUCCAAGGUAUGGUUUUUCUAUUAUUACAGUACAUUGCAAAGGAAAUGGUUUUUCUUCCUAAAAACAGAAUGGCUCCCACGGUUCUCUAUGUCUGUGUGCAUAUGACAUGCAUUUCUUCUCCAAAAUGUGCCAAAAACAAAAAACUCACAUCUUAACAGACAACUUAAACAAACAA
Molecule: long non-coding RNA, 50962 nt
Filed under: Cucumis sativus (cucumber)
Lineage: Eukaryota; Viridiplantae; Streptophyta; Magnoliopsida; Cucurbitales; Cucurbitaceae
Description: long non-coding RNA (CSAT_LNC002139)
Source: RNAcentral